Molecule: long non-coding RNA, 53264 nt
Filed under: Malus domestica (apple)
Lineage: Eukaryota; Viridiplantae; Streptophyta; Magnoliopsida; Rosales; Rosaceae
Description: long non-coding RNA (MDOM_LNC017637)
Source: RNAcentral
CCUCCCCAGGUGCCGCACCUUCUGUGCCGCCACCGCCCUCUACAACUAACACCCCUCCAACUACCCCUUCCCCCACAUCAAACGACCCUGCUGCUUGUGAACCUGUCCCGGCUCCAUCGCCUUCCAUGAGUGGAGUACCCACCGUGAACACCACCCCUGGGUCGCUGCCUCCGUUGGGUUCUUCUUCACAUGUUGUUUUAGCUAGCUUCGUUUUAUCCUCCUUGGCUCUUGUCGUGGGUUUGUUCUUUUAGGUGCAGUAGACAUCCGCAUUUGGUCAUCCAAUAUUUUUUUGGGGUCUUUUGAUAUGGGUCCAAUUGGACUAAAAAUUGGACCUAUUUCAAAAGAUGGGCUAUAAUUGGGUCUCUUUCAAAUUUUUCCUAUUUUUUUUUAUUUUUUAUAUAUUUUCUUUCUUGAUAGGGCAGGGUAAAUCGUUAUUUAUUUUAAUCUCUUUUUUAUUUUUGUAUCGGUUUUGUAUAACAGAACAGUGAUGAUUUUUUGGAGUGUGCUAUUAAUAAAGGAAUUCUUGUAGUUGAAAAUAUUGUUAUGCACUAUGUUGGAACUUCGAACGUUAAACUUGUCUGUAUGGUGUUAAAAAAAAUCAUUAUACAAAAUACAAAAAAAAACGAGUGUAAAAUGUCUUUGAUACCUUGGUUUUUAAGAACAAACUCAUAAAAUAAAAAUAAAAACUAAAGACAAUAUUUAGUUUUAGUAAAACAUCAAGCAAGACAUGUACACUUAAUUAUUAAACAAAAUUACUGUUUAAGAAGAAAGUUCAUAUACACAAGCACCAAUAUUACCAUGAUGGUCACACCUAUCGUCUUACUCUUAACUGCUAUUGCUGUCACUAUUUUCUCAACUCCCACUAUUCAUUUUACAAAAUACAAAAAACGAGUGUAAAAUGUCUUUGAUGAAGAAAUUAGGGUUUUACUAUAAAAUCAAUUGAUAAUAUGGAAAAUAGCUCAAUAUCUUAUCAGCCCUUGCCUUGGUCUACACCUCAUCGGUGUGGGUCAUUUUGUCCUCACAUUAUUAACUCUCAAUAGGCCCCCUUAUGUGUGACUAAUUUUUAAGCCUACAUGUGGACAACAAAUUGGGUGAUGUGUGAAAAUGUGCGGCCCUUGAGCUUUCACAUAAGGGUCAACUUGACUUUGAUACCAUGAAAAAGUCGGUGUUCUACCAUAAACCAAUUGACAAUAUCAAGAGUAGCCCAACAUCUUAUAAGCCUUUGCAUUGAUCUAUCCCACUGAUGUGGGACAUUUUGUCCUCACAUCAUCAACUCUCAACAUUUGAUAUGUUGGUUUUUAAGAACAAACUCAUAAAUGGAAAAAACCAAAGACAAUACUUAGUUUUAGUAAAACAUCAAGCAAGACAUACUUAGUUAUUAAACGUUAUUGUUUAAAAAAAGAAGAAAAAAAGAAGAAGAAAGUUCAUAUUCACCACCACCAUAGUUAUUUAGUACUACGGUUUAGUGGUAUUCCUCUUUAUUGGUAAGUGAGAGGUCUUAAGUUCGAUUCUUGCCAAAGACGAAUUUGAACCAUAUUAUUGCUAGCCCAUUGUGAGGCUUAACCCAUUCUCCCACCCCUUAGUGUAGAUAAUAUCGUUGUUCAAAAGAAAAGAAGAAGAAAGUUCGUAUAGACACCACCACCAUAUAUAUUCACCAUAUUCGUCAACCUAACAUCUUAACUGCUAUUGCUGUCACUACCAUUAUUAUCUCAACUACCACAAUCCCCACCACUAUCUCACCACCGCCUUCACCAUAUCUCCGUCGCUAUCAUCCACACCACCUCUCAACCACCAUUGUUGCCACUACCAUUCUUCGCCACCAUCAUCACCGGUGAUGUGAGCAUUCCUACUACCAUUGCCCCUCCCAUUCAUGGACGGAGUUAGAGUUUUUUUUAGUGGAAGAGACCUUAACAUCUACUUAUACUUAAGAAAAAAAAAAUUAUCAUAAUAAAAUAUCGUCUAUAAUUUCAUUUGCUUUUUCUUUUUCCUUAAACUGCACAAAGCCACAACUUCACAACUUGGAGAAAUGCUUUUACAAUGAUGGGCUAUUUCAGAAUAUAAACUGAAAGUAGUGCAAUUAUGGCAAGUUCAAUCUCCACAUGUCUUUUUAUAUGUGUUUCAUUAAAAGGAGCAUAAAUAAUAUAAUCAAUAUGUUAUUUGCAUGUCACUUAGUACUAUGGUCUGGUAGUAUCCUCUUCACUUGGAAAUGAGAAGUAUUAGGUUUGAAUCUCGUGAUGACGAAUUCGAUAUCAAAUUAGGUUGUCCAUUGUGUGGCUUUGUCGAAUUCUCUUUUUCCCUUAGUGUAAAAAUAUCGAUGUACUAAAAAAAAAUUUAUUUGCAUUGCACCUUCUAUAAUAUCAUAAUUUUUUUUUCUCACUAAACUUAGGUGCCUCCAGUGAUCCUUAGCUGCCACCAUUCAUGUCCCCACCCCGCUAUUAUCACCACUCAUAUCCCACCAUUAUUGUUACCACCACCACUGUUUCUAAUUGCACAACCCUCGUUGCAAUCAUCUCCACCACCAUCCCAUCAUCUUAAAAUAUAUAUUACAAAACAUUAUCAUCAAACACGAAUUUCUUUUAUUGACAUUUAUAUAUCGAUAAACAAAGACGUCUAAUGUCUUCCUUGUCCAAAUAUAAUUCCCAGAUUAAACUCCUAGACGAAUUCUCGAUGUCUUUUUACUGCUACAUUUUCAGUUGGCUGGACGGGAGCUGGGCCAUGUCACCUACUACUUUAACGGGCUUUGUUUGUGUUUGAAUUUUUUAUCCUGUAAGCUGAAUGGAAAGACAUGAUAUGAUGUGUUAAAAUAAUGAGUUAACACGAACCAACAUCACGACCCAUUUGUCAGGUCCAUGUAGAGGAAAAUGUGAUUUGACCAAAUUUAUUGUUGUUAAAAAUUAAAAUCUCCGCGCUUUUGAAGAUUACAAUAUUGAAAUAGGAAUGUAAGUUUUCCUAGUUAUGGAAUCCCUUUCUAUUGAGUGAUCUCUCAAAAAACUUAUUUGAUGAGCAUAGGUACAUUUUGAAGAAAUUUAAUUUGUUUUAUGGUGGAAUUUUAUCUGAGUAUGUUGUCAUGUGUAAGAAAGCCCAACAGCCUGGCGUGCUUCAGGUCAUCCGAUUUGUGUUGUCCAUGUGUUAUACUUGAAAAUUUGCCAUCCAUAAGGUGUUAUCCCACAUUGGAAAAAAGAAGACCUUGCAUGUGCUUAUAAGCAAGUUAGGCUAUUCCCAUACACCUCCUAUUCAUUUUACCUCAACUUCUUCACAUUCUACAUUGUAUUGCAAUGAUUCAAACAAAUUAUUUUUCAAAUUGUUGUUGAAAAUUUGUUAGUUUGUUCAGUGAGCGUGGAGGGCCAAAACUGUUAGUUUAAAACUCGGUAGAAGUUGGUUAAAAGGGAAGCAUUGUAUCAGAAAGCUUGUUCAUUUGUUGUAGAUUGAUCUUUCGUAAUAAUUUCUAUUUUUUUUUUUUUACAUAAGAGUGAAAAUUGAAGCCAAGGAAAGCUCCAAAAUCCUGGAAUUUGGAAGUUUAGGCGGGUCCCCCAAGUUUAUCACGUUAGACUAUACGACCAUGUACAUCACAAGAAUUCUUCAACCCGAUAAUAAUUAGGUUAUUACUUUAAGAACCUACUAAUGAGAGAAAGUCGAGCAUCAUUAAACAGCAAAAAGAAAAAGAGAACAAGUCUUUUCAUGAAAUGUAGUAUGAUAUGAAAGAAGGUUGGAACUUUCCACUUUGGGUCUCGGUACAACAUAAUAGACUAGAAUAGUCUAACAUGCACCAGAAAUCAAAGUUAAGAUGACCGACUUCCCAUGCAUCUUCUUAUUGUUGUUCAAGGCAGCCGUGUCUAAGACUCUACCAAGUCUUGCUUUUUCAUUACACUCUUCAGCUUUCCCUACCUCUCUAUUUAUAGGCUUCAAUUCAUGUAUCCUUGCCAUACACUCUUAUCAGCGAUUACCUAAAACAAAUCAAUUUGCUUUAGUAAUCACAGCCUCCUACACAAUUUUCCUAGAGAUAUAGAGAGAAACAGAGCUAGAUAGAUGGAGAGCAAGAUGGUGAUUGUUUUCGGUGUAGUUGUGGCUGUGUUCCUGCAAAAUGUUGCAGCACAGACGGGACAUGUGGUGGGAGGAAGCAUAGGUUGGACCAUCCCUCAAUCUGGUGAACAAGAGUAUGUCACUUGGGCUGCAAGUAACAAGUUCGUUGUUGGUGAUACUCUCAGUAAGAUUCGCUUCUCUUCUGAUUUCCAUCGUCUUCUUCAUUAAGUUAAUAACUUCGUGAACUCAUUAGUGUAACACUCUUCUUCAAAUGAACCAGCUAGACAGACCCAGUUAGGACUCCGCAUUUACUGAUCACAUUAAUACAUAUAUAUAUAUAUAUAUGUAUAUUUGAAGUGAAUCCACGAGUAUUUCUGUAAAAUAAGAGCACAUGAUCGACAAUAAUUAUCAAAUAAAGUUUCAAUUAAUUUCCUCUAGCCUUGAAAUUAUUCCAAGGUAAACUAUCCAUCACUCAUGUUUCUCACAUUUGAUGUUUCUUAAUUAUGUCUCCAGUUUUCAACUUCGCCACCAACGCACACGAUGUACAAGAAGUACCCAAAGCAUCAUUCGACUCAUGCAGUUCGGAAAACCCAAUUGGCACGGCUAUCACAACUGGCCCAGCAAACAUCACUCUCACCUCUUCAGGCGACCACUACUACAUCUGCACUUAUGGCCGUCAUUGCCAGUCGGGCCAGAAACUAGCCAUCACCGUCUCAGCUGCCUCCCCAGGUGCCGCACCUUCUGUACCACCACCACCCUCUACUACUAACACCCCUCCAACUAGCCCUUCCCCUACAUCAAAUGACCCUGCUGCUUGCGCACCAGUCCCAGUUUCAUCACCAUCCAUGAAUGGAGGAGUACCCACCGUGAACAUCACCCCGGGGUCGCCGCCUCCGCUGGGCUCUUCUUCACCUGCUGUUUUGGCUAGUUUCUCUUUGUCGGCCGCUGCUCUUAUCGUGGGUUUGCUCUUUUAGUUACCAUGAAGACAUCGCCGGUCCUAAUUAAUUACUAUAUUGGUGAUCCAACCUUUUUUAUAUUGUCUAUCUUGAUAGUACAAAAGUAAAUGGAAUUUGAUCUUAGUCUCUCUUUUGUUCUAAAUAAUUUUGUAUCUGUUUCUUAUAACGAACCCGUACAGGGUGAUUUUUUUUAGUAUACUAUAAAUAAAGGAAUUCGUUUGUUCAAAAUUCUGUUCUGCAAUGAAGAAAGAAGGAAUGUUUUUCUGCCAAAUGGUCCUAUAGUCAAUGCUAAUCUUAUGGCACAUGUAAUAUGAUCGUCCAUUUAACUCUUAGAACUUUUUUGUGAACGUCUGUCCUCUCAAUUUCGUAUCCAUAACAUACAUGCACAAAAAGAGAUAAAGUUCACAUGUAAUGUAAACUCUCAUAAUAAGCACGUCCACCUUUCCUUUCAUGGAUUUGAUCUUGAAAUUGUCUCUACAAACUGUAAUGAAAAUAAAAAUUCCCGAAGUAUUGUGACAUCAUGUGCUUCGGACCUCAAGUUUGAGAUGUAAGCGUACAACAAGGGACUAACAGAAGUUUUUGAACAUAAUUUGGUUAAACCCAUGAACUUUUUGAUCAAUAAAGCAGCAAGAAGAGAACAUUAAAGAAUUUCUAUUCGUCACAAAGAUUCCGUUAAUCGUCUCAGUUCCUAGAGCUUUUAAGGAGAAAGCUUUGAUAAUCUCUUCGCUGUUUCGAAAACUUCUGCAAAUUGUGAGGGGGAUCUGAAACCAUCAUUUGCCGUAGUAAUAAAUUCUCCAACAUAAAGGUAAAUAUAUAGGGCUACAAAAUGUGCUAAGAAAUAUGAAAUACAAUAAAGAAUUAGAAUAGGACUAUACAAUGGGUAAUAAGUUAGGCCAUCUCUAACCGAAAAUGCUAAACAUAGCCUUAUUCAGAAUUAUAGUCCUGCAAAAAAAUAUUUUUAAAUGAAUAGUAUCAGAACAUACUCAUAUACUAUCCAAUCCAACCGAAUGGAAUAAAACAUAGUCUCCUCAAUAAUUUAUUAGUUUUAAGUUUGUACCUUAAAUUUAUUAGUUAAUUUAAUUAAACUAUCGUUGGAUAUUUCAAAUAUAACAGUUAAAUUUGAAUAAAUUAUUACAAAUGAGGAAUUGGGCUCCAAAAAAAGGGCUAAAGCCAUCUCCAAUGGAGAGGGUUAAAUGGCUAAAGGGCCAAAAAAUGGCCUGAUUUGAAUAAAAUCCAACUCUAACCAAAGGCUAAGCUAAAAAUUAAUAGAGCCCACCAGGCCGAAACAUAGUCAAAAGGGCAUCAGGCUGGCCAAGUUUGACUUGACAACCGGCCGUUUGCUGGGCCAAGCAGCAAAUCCUGAGGCCACUUUUGGAAGAAUCCAACGGCUACAAAUUAUAUGGGCAUCAGGCUGGCCAAGUUUGGCCUGAUAGCCAGCCUUUUGUUGAACCUAGCAGCAAAUCCUGAUGCCACUUUUGGAAGAAUCCAACGGCUACAAAUUAUAUUAUACAUCUUUCAAGAAUAUGGAUGUCAUGUCUGGGAGAUACGUAUACGACCAUUAAUAAAAAACUUGGUCUGUUAUUAUAAUCAUGAGGAUUAAUAAUUAAUCUUUUAUAUUAUUACUGAUAAAUUGUUGAAAUUCUUGUGAAAAAUCUUUUUAAGUGUCAUUUAGUGAAAGAAGUUGUCAUUUGCAGGUGGUCCUUUAUCACAGUUGUGAAGCCUAAAAUAAUUCCAAAAUUUUUUAAAGGCGACGCGUGAACUUUUGCUCAAGAAAGACAAGUUGCCCUCAAUAAAUGGGCAUGCUUCUCAAAUGCUCCCACGCGCAGCUCACACCCCUAAAGGUCCCAACAGCUAAAUACGAUUGCCCACAGCUCACAUGCCCUUGGCAAGGAAAAUUCAAAGCAUUAAAGAUAAGAAUUAAUUACCUAAAUCUUAUCUUUAAUACAUUCCCAAUUAAAGAUUGACUCUAAUCAGGUAAGUAAUCCCAUUUAAAAUCAAUUAGGGAUAAUUACUCCAUAUCUCAAGAUAUUAUUUUCUAUUUAAUAUCUUGAUAAUAUUUCUCCAUAAACCCUAACACUAUGGCCGACCAAAUACCUAUAAAUACCCCAUAUUCUACCAAAUUUCGGUAAACUUUUGCUACCUUAUAAAAGCCUUAAACACUUUAUUCUCCUCAGAGAAACUGACUUAGGCAUCGGAGAUCCAUUGACCUAAACCCCCUAACUUGUGGGCGCGUGAGGCUUAGGUCCUUGAUCAAAGGUGUUAAUUGUUUUUCAAGUGCAGUUUCAUCUAGACUGAAGGUGGAAAUUUGCAUCGACAAAUUGGUACUUUUAUUGAGAGCUGAUUCAAAUACUCGAAGAAGCCUCUUGCAUUUGGUUUCUUGAAUUUUCUAUUACAUUGAAUUUUUCACAUGUCGUAUCAAUUAAUUUUCGUAGAAAAGUUUCGUGAUCAAUCCCUAGAGAAAUGAUACAAUGGUAGGAAAUUCAGAAACCACGACGAACGGAACGCCGUACAUACAAGGAUUUGGAUCGGAGAGUGGAGACGAUGAUGUAGCCCUACGACGGAAGUCUUUAAGACUCAACGCGACGGCAGGAGGGGCCCUACCGCCGCGGAGCCGCAUCACCACCACCUUUGUGACCCAACAGCCACGAAAAGGCCACCAGGCCACAGCCUAAGUUCCACCAUCGCUGCCCUCGAAGCGCUGCAACCCACAAAACCCUGGUCAGGAGGCCUAGGUCUAACCAGUGGUCCACGAGCAUGAGGCUCAAGGCUUGGCAACUAUCACAGCAAGCCCAGGGCAGAAGGCUUAGCCCACUGCAGCAACUCAGUUGCCAACUAGUGAGCAUAGGCACUUCAGGCCCAGGCCGAUUCUUAGGGUACCUGGUAACCCAAUGAGGAAUCGAGGCUUAUCCAAGGUAAAUUAGAGCAAUCUUGGACAUGAAGUCUCCUACAACUUUGAAGGAGAUCCAAAUUCUGACUAGACGAGCAGCCGCACUUAAUCGUUUCCUCUCGUUAUUCAUUAACCGAUGUAAGCCAUUCUUCAAGGCAAUCAAAAGAGUGCAGAAUGACAAAUGCGACGAUGAGUAUGAGAAAACAUUUUAGAACCUGAAGUAGUACUUGACAUAACUUCCACUAGUAUCUAAGUCGGAAGUAGCAGAGAACCUGUACAUCUAUCUGGCAGUAUCAGAAGUAGCAGCAAGCUCUGCCCUCAUACGAGAAGAGCUGGGGGCCCAACUGCCUGUAUUAUAUACAUCCAAAGCUCUCCUCGAUGCAGAAACCAGAUACCCGAAGAUUGAAAAACUAAUUUUGGUGCUAGUUGUUGCAUAUCGGAAGCUUAGACCUUACUUUCAAGGGAAUCUGGCCAUUGUCAUCACCCAGUACCCACUACGAUCAGUUUUGCAUAGACCAGAUGCUUCUCAACGAGUGAUGAAGUGUGCGUUGGAACUUGGCCAAUACAGCUCAACCCCACACAUGGACAAAAGCCUAAACAUUGGCAGACUUUACAGCAGAAUUCACCCUAAGCCUGAAGGAUGUAGCAACUCAACCCAAAAGCAUCCCGGAAGCAGCCAAGUACACUGUAGCCGCACUAGCCCCACCUGCAUGAGAUUUUUGUUUUUUGCACGUCGAUGGAUCAUCCAACUACCAGGGAUCGAGAGUAGGCCUAGUUCUUACUACCCCGGACUGUUCGAUGCUCGAGCAGGUGAUCAUUCUAAGCUUCAAGGGGUCAAACAAUGAAGCAGAGUAUGAAGCCCUACUUGCAGGUCUCCGAUUAGCAAAAGACCUAGCGAUGAAGAAGCUCACGAUCUAUUCCGAUUCCCAGCUAGUCACCAACUAAACCUCAAGGGAGUACGUAGCGAGGCAUCCAAGGAUGGCUCGAUACCUCGAGAAGGUACGAGAGCUGCUGGCGACAUUCCAGGCGUACACACUUACUUAGGUUCCACAAGAAAAAAUGCCCAUGUAGACACACUAGCAGGCCUAGGCCCCGCCUUAGACCAUCAGCUCAAGCGCUCUCUCCUAGUCGAGUACUUGGAGAAGUCGACCAUAGAUAAGGAACCAGCAGUCGAGGUGGCGUAGAUCAACACAAAUUUGAGUUGGCAAGAUCCCAUUAUUGACUACUUAGUCAAUGGAACGCUCCCCGCAGACAGACUGAAGUCCAAGAAACUCCAGAUGAAGGCAGCACGCUACUACAUGUGGAACAACAUGCUCGUUCGAAGAUCCUUUUCAGGACCGCAUCUCUGUUGCUUAUCGCCUCCUGACGACCUAAAGAUUCUUAGCUAAAUCUAUGAAGGCGUUUGUGAAAACCAUUCAAGAGGCCACUCCCUGGUGCAAAAAGCUUUUAACUCUGGCUACUACUGACCAACCAUGCAUCAAGACGCCAAAUAGUAUGUACAAAGGUGCAACAGCUGCCAUCACUUCAAGCCCGUGCCUGCACUACUUGCCAGCAAACUUCACCCUCAAACGAGCCCUUGGCCAUUCAUGUAGUGGGCGAUGGACCUGGUAGGACCAAUGCCACCUGCCACUGGGGUUAGAGGCAUGAUGAUCGUAGCAACCGACUACUUCACAAAAUGGGUCGAAGCCGAACCCAUGACUGCAACUAUAAUACCCUGAAAAUUUUAAAAUAUAUGAUUAUAUGGAAAUUUUUUAUCGGAAAGUGAAAAGACGAAAAUGUCUCUCGUUGACUAAACGUAACUUUAUAAGGAUGUAUUUUAUCCUCAUAUACUUUAUCAUAUUUCUAAGUAUAUUUGAAUAGAGGACGACCUUACGAGCGCGUAGGUGCAAAAGAAUCCUAAUUCCGAGUUAGAACGGAAAAGUUACGAGCCUCGGAAGUAGUGAUACUUUUUAGACAUGUGGACUUACUAUUAGUAGGGAGUCUAUAAUUAGUUAGCCUGAAAUGAGAAGGUUUCCACUUCGGGAAACCUGGUGAAGAGGCCCAAAUAACCUAGAAAAACCCCCAUUUGACCUCCUGCGACCUCCCAUAUUUCGAGGUCGAUUUCGGCCAACUCAGGUGGAAUUUUUCGACGACACCACCACCAUCUCCAAGCUCUCACUCCCCUCUACAAAAUCCAACAAGAACCACCUUGAUUAGCCACCAUAUGCGGUGGUGUGAGACCAUAAAAACUGAUGAAAACCAAUAGUGCUCCAGCCACCCUUUUCAUUUUUUCCAGUGAAUCAGCAAAGUGAUGGCCGAUGCCACUACUUGGGUUUUGUAGCCCAUCAUCCUAAGAGUAAAUUCUGACCAGCUUUGAUCCCGUUGGACCACUGUGGGCGACGAAUCGGCACAGGGAAGCUUUAGGCACCCACCGGUUUUAUUAGCGUAAUUGACCCUCUUUCAUCCACUUUGGGACUUCGUGGCAGGUAUAAAAAUUGUUCCUCUUGUUGAGCUCUAUCUUCCUGUAAAUUUUGGUAGAAUUUGGAGUUAGACAAAAAAGUGGGUUUCCGAUCGUCGGAAACCACUACGCACGGUGGCGCGUGGGGGAGAAUAUGUUUAUAUGGAUUUUGGACAGUGGGACAUCCUUGAUGUCCUGAGUCCAUAUCCAAAGUCCGUUUGUUGAAAUUUGAUGGUAUGAUUAAAUAUUAAAUUUUUUUAGAUAAUUGUACCGUUGUACGAUUUAUCGUAAUUGACAACCAUUCAAUCGUUGGAUCGUCACCAAACUUUGAGACGUUAUAGUACAUAAUAUUGAAGGACCUUAGGAACUUACGGAUCGAGAAUCCUCAGUAUGGAUCUUCCCGAAUUGGAUUUGUAAGUUAGUAAAUUAAAACGUCGACCGCCAUUCGAAUGUUACGAUUGGCGGAGAUCCAACCGUUGGAUCGAAAUGAAAUUCUAGUAUGUUGUUCUAGAAGCAUAAUGUGAACUAUGAAUGACUUGAUCCCUUAGUAAGGUAAGUAGACAGUCUAAUGAGAAGGUUACAUGCAACCAUAAUAAAAUACUUGAGAUUAAUCUUUUAGUGAAAUUUGCUAAGAAAAUGAAUUUGGGGCCUAUAUUAGUAAUUAGCUUCCGAAUUAGAAAUUUCGGGUCGUUACAACAACUACCCAGACGGGCAUAAAGCACUUCAUAUGGAAGACCAUCAUCUGUUGCUUCGGCAUCCCGCACUUCAUCGUCACCGAUAAUGGUUUGCAGUUCGUGGGUAAAGACUCGGUGAAGUUUUUCAAAAAAUAUGGCAUCAAGCAGCACAUGUCCAUGCCUCGGUAUUCAUAGGGAAAAGGGUAGGCCGAGUUGUCUAAUAAGACCAUCCUCAAUUGUCUCAAGAAGUCCCUUUUAGACAAGAAGGGCAAGUGGCCAGACGAGCUUCUCGGUGUUCUGUGGGCGUAUCGCACCACCAAAAGAUGAGCAACCUGCGAAACUCCAUUCUCCCUAGCGUAUGGCUUUGAGGUGAUUAUUCCUCCCAACAUCAUGAUGCCAAGCAUCAGCACUAUAUUGCUGAAUUUCAAGCAGAACGAGAAGGAGAUGACCACAAACUUAGACCUGGCAGAGGAAGAGCAUGAGAAGGUUAUCACCUGCAUUGCGGCCUAUCAGCAUCAGCUCAUCUCCAACUACAACAAGGGGAAAAAUUCAGAAGUUUCAGCCAGGAGACCUAUCCUUAGAAAAACCUUCAUCACCGCCCGUCGGGAAGGCUCCAAAAAGAUGGCUCCUAUCUGGGAAAGUUCGUAUAGAAUCAGCUGAGUAGGCAGAAAGGUACCACCAUAAGCAACAAAAAAAUCGACAAGCAAUGGAAUGCCUACAACCUGAUAAAGUACUACGUGUGACCUUUCACCAUUCCUUGGACCCUGUUUAAGAUGAAUAAAGUUUGAAGACUCAAGCAGUUUGAUGAACAAGAUCUUGCAUACCGAGGAUUAUCAGUUGUUAUGCCAUUACUGAUUAUCAACAAAGUUAAUAAAUUUCUCUAUUUUCAAUGAAGAUUAAAGGAAUUAUUCACAAGCCUGAUCGAAUGCAUAAACAAACUGACCAACCAUGUGACAAGAAGAAGGUGCCCUUGCCCUUGCAGACAUGGCAUGUGCUAUCUAAUUAGGAGAUGGUAAACUAAUCCGGAAUGUCCAAACUUGGAUGAGUGGUAUGACUGCUCAGUUUCCCCUAUAUACAACGACUACCUGAGCCUGAUGACUCCCAUAAUUGGCCAAGAUAGUCAUUAUCUUAGAAUAGAUUUAGCCAACUAAAGGAUUCAACUCCGCAGGAUCAUGGGUUUUUAACCGGAAAAGAUGUUAAGUGCAUGACACCUGCCCAUGAAAGAAUUCGUGACUAGAUGAUCUGUCCUCAACGUGCAAGUCUUCAUGAAAGUAGCUUGGUUUUAAAAUGUUGCAAUACUAGUUAAGCGACUUGCGAGAUCAAGCUACCACUCAGAAGGAUAUGGCCUCUAAGGUGCGGUUCUGCUUACACCUUAUGCCUAAAACGCCUCCAAGAGCCAAAGACGACAUCUGAAGUGGUCAUGCGGGUCGUUUGCUUCUGUAAGGAAAACGCCCGAACGACGACCUAACGGCUGGUAGCCCAAGCCAAUCUGUAAGCCGAGACUUACAUCUGUUAUGACUACGUGGACCUGUCUGCUUAUUUAAAAACAGUGUUUCUGAUCGACAGUUUAUGGUUUAAGUUUUGUAGGAAAUAAAGCUGAAGUACAACUAUAGUGGCUAUGUGAACUUCCUCUGCUUUCUACGAGAAGCAAGUGUCCGACCGCCAACCCUAUAAGUUAAAAACUUCGCAAAACGCCCCAGGAGGGCCAAAGCUCAAAAAGCCACUAAAAUCGAAGUACGACUGUAGCAGUUACAAGGACUUCAUCUACUUUCUACGAGAAACAAGUGUCUGACCGCUAGCUCUAUAACUUAAAAACUUUGCAACACGCCCCGAAAGGGCCGAAGUUCAUGAAGCCAUUAAAGUCGAGAUUCACGACUAUAGUAGCUACACGGACUUGCCUGCUUCCUACAGAGACAACGAGUUUGGCCACCGGCUUUAUAAGUUAAAAGUCUUGCACCUUUUUUCCUUUUGCAGACAAAGCUCUAGAAGCCCCAAAGCCAAAACUGAAGCCUAAAGACGACGAGGGAUCGACUGCUCUAUCGAAGUAGUUAACACAACCGCCCAUCUUACGACAAAGUUUUACAGGUCGCCUCAAGUAGGCAAGUCUCUUGAAGCCUAGAAGCCGAAACUGAAACCUAAGUAAUGACGUGGGAUCGAUUGCUUCAUUGAAGCAGCUCACCCAGCCGCCUAUCUUAUGGUAAAGUAGAUGAACUGGAGAAAUGGAGAAAGUCUCGAAGUCAUUCUCGAAAAACUCAUAAUCCGACGGCCUGCCUUGAAGAUGGUCUACAUAGCUAAACUUGUAGAAAUCAGCCUGACAAGAUGCAAGCGCCACUUCGUGACCAACCUUCUCAUUCUUUAGCUGCACAUUCUCUUCAAUAAGCCUAGUGUGAGCACCCUACAACUUAUCCAGUUCCUUUUUCAGGUUCUCGCUAGCAGACAACACACUUUGCAGAUCCACUUCCUUAGACUCAAACUUAUUGGCAACAUCCUUGAGACAAGACAUUUCAGCAUGCAUGAAGACAAACUCCCUGUCCUUGGCAAAACAAGUGGAUCAUAGCUUAGAGUUGACACACUCAAGGUCCUUGACCACCAGAAAAACACGAUUGACUUACUUUUUUGCAACUUCCAAGAUUGCAUGAGUCGCACUAAGCUUAGCCUUCAAAUGGGUGACCUCCUGAUGCGCGGUCUCCAGUUGCAUAGAAGUGGGGGUAGAGACAUUAGACCUCUUCAAAACACCACUUCGGCCUCCUUAGCACACUUGACAGUAUCCUAAUCAACAUGCAUAGACUCAGCUGCCAGGAUCAAAGUCUUAUGCAUCGUGGCAAUCUGGGAGGACCUCAUCGAGUAGUUGGGACGCUUCGCAAAAGAGUUUGACUGGAUGACAACUUUCUCGACACUGUCAACGAACUUGGCACAUGCAUUAAUGUCCUCAAGCAGGUCAGCCUUUAGAAGCGCACAAACCUCGGGAAACUUUCCAGCCUCAAACUUUGUUGACCUCUCACAACUGCCUGUGUGAGCAUAUUUCCUUAUCUCAGCAGACACAAUCACAGCAGAGGGAAGAACAGGCCCAAGCGACACCUUAGCAGCAUAAUCCACCUUUCUGCUCUUCAUAAUGACGAGCCUUUCAGAAGCUAAACCGGACUUAGCUCCCGAUGUGCGCUUCGACAUAAACCCAGACACCGGGGCACCACCGAACCUUUUCACUAGGCAAUCUUCUCAGUAAUGGUUGUGGCCACCUUCAGAGAAGCAGGUUUCAUAGGCUCAGACUCAACGAAAUUUUUUGUCCGGGAGGUCAGAUUAAUGAUAAGCUUCUCAGUAGCAAACGAGCUUGUGAGAGCAGCAAAAGAAGUCAUUGGCUUCUUCUCGGCCGAAGGCUCAUGAGCAGGUGAAAAAGAUUUCUUCUUUCCACCCUCAUUGGCAACAGGCUCUACAACAGUGAUCAGAUGAGCAAACGCUUCAUCAUUUAUUUGUUUUAUCUCUUCAUUUGGAGGCAGCCUACUUUUCUCCCAACGAAGAAGGCUGAGCAACCAACGCCACUCACGGUACUUAGCAGGAAUGCCCAAGGCGAUAUGCACUUUCUUCAUAUCUGCUGAAGUUCUUGGAGUUGAGCCAAGAAUGAUCAAUAAACUAAAGUCAUAUAGCUGCUCAACAAAAAUUCAAGCAGGCCAAGGAUGAAGCAAUUCACUUACCACUGAUAAAGACAGUCUGAACGUGCAACUCAAGAGAAGAGUCAACCUCCUAAUCUCCAUUUACCUCCAAGGUGUCCCUCACCCACUCGUGAUCACCUUUGCAGGGAGCAUCAAGCAACCUAUGGCGAGAUCUCAGCUACCCCACGCUUUCUCUGUGGCUGAUUUCAAAGAAGUACCAGAACUCACUUAUGGUCAAGCUAAGAUCAAAGAACCUAAUUAAGUUUAAGAACCCCACUAUUGCACGAAUUGCAUUUGAGGAACACUGAGCAGACGCGCAUCUCAUGGAGCAGAUCACCUCCUGGAAAAGACGUGGCAUAGGAAAAGUAAAUCCCAACACGAAGCAAUACGGAUGGAAUUUGAUAGCCCUCUUCCUAGUAGUGGCAUAUUCGCCGCACGGUUCAUGGUCGCUAUCAUCAUUCACCUGCUUGACGCAAACCCUAGAUGGAAUCUCAUGCUUGUACGCCUUAAGAAAAUCCCGAAACAGCUCAUCAAAAUUAAUCUUGACAUGCGCAGCCUUGAAAUAGCCCACCUUGCUGGAAGAACCACCUUGACUGUACAAAGGUGGAUGAUACUCGUCCCUUUUGUGAUCGAAGGAAGACAUCUUAAAGUCCCUGUAAAAAGUAUGAAGAAAACUAUUUAGAAGGUAACUCGCGAGAAAAGAAAAAAAAAUAUAAAAAUAAAAAGGACCAUAGAGCCUAGCGCCCUAGCGCUAGGUCCCACGACCCAGCUAAUCCACACGGCCAAGCCACAAAAUGGCCCAACCCUCAGUCUCUUUCUUCAACACGUGGCCCAAACCGCUCCAGCCCAAGAUGGAAGGAGGCCCACGCUUCCCUAAUCUCUUCCUCUUUCGAGUGCCCAGCACUCCAAGAUAGGCCCAGGCCUCUCGACCCAAGCCACCAAGACCCAAAAGCUGGCCCGAGUUGGUCUCUCCUACUCUCUUACCUCAUGCCCACACGGGCCCAAUAGCCCACGGCCCAGUCCACUUGCGAGUGAGGUGAGUGCCUCGCGCUUCUUUCCCUCUUUCUUACUCUCUAGCGGGCCCGGGCCUAGCAUUGCGCCCCUGCACCCUCAGCCUUUUUCAAGCCAUCGUUUGGCCCACACCAACCAUGCACCAAGCCUACCUCGCGCCACCAGCACCUUGGCCCAAGCCGAGUCGACCCCAUGCCACGUUGGCUACUGUGCAUAACAGCCUCGUGGCACCCUUGCCACGUGUUUCACACCUCCUUGGCCCCUGAUUAGGCAAUUUUUCAAGUCCCAAGACUCCCAAAAAAAUUCAAGAAGAAAAAAAUUCAAAUUUUUCUUACCGUGGAACGACACGGAGAAGAAGAACUACAACGAGAGACGACUCUUUGCAAGGGCAAUGGAAGAAGAAAGCUAAGGGAGGGGGAAUAACAUUUCCUCUAACUUCUCUUCCUUGUUAGAAUAAUGAUUGUUCUCCAAAUUUAUUUAAUCCCCUGCUUAUGGAAGAAUUCAAUAGGUAUUGGGGACAAUUGGUUUUCUUUUCCUUGAAGAAGUCAAUCUCUAAAUCAAGGAAAAAGAUCAAGAUCAAAUUGGGAAACAACUCUAGAAGCCUAUGCAGCUUGGGAUUUCUACACCUACUGCCCUUUUCCGACAUGCAGCCCAGCAGGUGUAGGGGCAUUUGUGGAGCCUAAAAUAAUCCCAAAAAUUCUAGAGGUGGCACGUAGGUUUUUGCUCAAGAAAGACAAAAUUGCCCUCAACAAAUGGGCAAGCUUCUCAGAUGCUCACACCCCUGAAGGUCUCAUUAGCUAAAUACGACCGCCCACAGCUCACCUGUCAUUGGCAAGGAAAAGUCAAAGCAUUAAAGAUAAUGAUUAAUUACCCAAAUCCUAUCUUUAAUACAUUCCUAAUUGAAAAUUGACUCCAAUCAAGUAAGUAAUCCUAAUUUAAAUCAAUUAGGGAUAAUUACUCCAUUAUCUCAAGAUAUUAUUUCCUAUUUAAUAUCUUUAGAAUAUUUCUCCAUAAACCCUAACACUAUGGCCGGCCCAAUACCUAUAAAUACCUCAUAUUCUACCAAAUUUUGGUAAACUUUUGCUACCCUAUAAAAUGCCCUAAACACUUUAUUCUCCUCAGAGAAACUGGCAUAGGCAUUGGAGAUCCAUUGGCCUAACCGCCACCCUACCUCGUGGGCGCAUGAGGCUUAGGUCUUUGAUCAAAGGUUUUAAUUGUUAAUUUGCAUCGACAAAUUGGUGCUUCAUUGAGAGCUGAUUCAUAUACUCGAAAAAGACUCUUGCAUUUGGUUUCUUGAAUUUUCUGUUACGUUGAAUUUCUCACACGUCAUAGGGGACAGCCUAUAAACACUUUUAUUUUUAAUUUUUAAUUUUUUAAUAUUUAUGUGGGCACCUAUGACACGUGGCGCCUAGUCACUGUCCACGUGAGUGCCACGUCACCAAUUAACGGCUAAUUUAACAGCAAACUUAACGGAUGUAUGAAAGUGUCCCAAAAUUAUGACUUUAUGUACAACUCUGGGAUGAAAAAAAACGUCAUGUGUUAAAUGUUGAAAAUCAAGAAACUUCAGGGUAGUAAACUGAGAUUUACCCUAAAGGUAAAUAUAUAGGGCUACACAACGUACUAACAAAUAUGAAAUAUAGUAAAGAAUUAGAAUAGGACUAUAUAAUGUGUAAUAAGUUAGGUCAUCUCCAACCAAAAAGACUAAACAUAGUCCCAUCCAGAAUUAUAGUCUUGCAAAAAAAAAAUUUAUUUAAAAUAAAUAGUGUUAGGUCAUUUCACAUACCAUCUCCAAGCGAAAGGGCUAAACAUAACCUCCUCACUAAUUUAUUAGUUUUAAGUUUAUACUUUAAAUUUAUUAGUUAAUUUAAUUAAACUAUCAUUGAUUGUUUUCAAAUUUAACUGUUAAACUUAAAUAAAUUAUUACAAAUAAGGAGCUGGGCCCUAAAAAAGGGCUAAGAGGGACUACAUUUGGCCAACAUGAUGCCCCCUUGGCUAAAUAGUGGUUUGGUGGGUUCUAGAGAAUUAUAGCCCCAACCAUUGGUUGGAGAUGAGUUUUUUAGCAAAUCAGACCAUUUUAAAAUGUAACUCAAAACGUAACAAAAGGAAUAGAUUCAAACUGAUUGUGUGCUAAGAAAAUGACUCCUAUCAAGUUGAAGAGAAAAUUUUCAAGUAGCUGGUAGCUCCACAUAAGAUUGAUAGCUAGUGUACCCGAGCAACAAGAGAUGGACACAUGACUUUUAACAUUUUUUCUUUAAAUACAUAUGAACACGUAUUCCAAAACCAAGAAAACUUCAGUCAAAUGUCAAGCAUUCAUCACCUAUUUCCUUUCCACUAUCCAUGGCAUCGUCGGACCCACCCCAAAUCCCGACGACAUCAUCGGAAUACAAAGCCUUGCCGACUUCUUCCUCUUCACCUGCAUCACUAGACACCCUGGACCCGAACGCGACAACCGAUCGACGGCUCCGGGAUCUGAAUUAGAGAAACUCUGUCAAACUGCUGCCGACGAUGAAUACCUGUCUAUCCUCGGUUUUGUCCUUGCUCCGAUGGACUUCCACUGCCCUUUUAUGGAGAUCCAAUCAGUUGAGAAAUUAAAGGAAAAAAAUUGCAUUUUCUUAAAAAACUCACUGCAAUCUGCUGCCAUGUAUUCUUCUUAAAGAUCAAAACAUUUAUACUAUGCAUAAAUUCAUGAAUGUUUGAAAUUGUGAAAAACCCAGCUAAAAAAAAUUAAAAAAUUCGAGCAAAAUGCUAAAGGGAAUUGAGAAGAUCUACUCAGAGGCCAUGAUACCCGUUAUCUUCUCAGUCAUGGAGCCCACCGUUUUGGAAGUCACAGAAAUUGUUUUAAUUGAAAAAGAAAGCAAGUCACGUGCCUGCCUGUAAUUGGCUUGGUACUCCAAGUCAGGUUGGGUUCCCAGAGUCCAGAAAAAUUUCAGUGAAUUAAGUGGAGAACUGGCAUGAUAUUGGUUCUUUUUUUAUGCCUAGAAUUUAAGGAUUUUAUAUAUUUCAAAGGGCAUUGGUAUUAAUUAGUUAGGGAUAUAAUAAAUACACAUUUUUAGCCUUUUUAACACCCCUAUUUAAUCAUGGGCGUUGUUAAUGUAUAAAAUUCGAGUAAUGUUAUUCAUACCAUGUUUUUAUACCAUAUUUCUAUACCACCUUAGGUGGCAUCUUAUGUGGAUAACCACAUCAUUUGAAAAAUUUGCAAAACCUAAGGAAAGGAAGGAGAAAGACUCAUCGUAUAUCACAAUCAUCAUUUAAUUAACUAGUUUUUCUUAAUUAUUAGUUCAUUAAAUAAUGAGCUAAAUUUAAAAAUCUGAUUAAUUCAAAUGAUGUGGCUAUCCACAUCAAAUGCCACCUAAGGUGGUAUGAAAAGGUGGUACAAAAACAUGAUAUGAAUAGUAUUACUCAUAAAAUUCACUUCCUUUUAUUAGUUAUUGUAUUUUUAUUAGGUUAAUUUCCUACCACUAGUGGGGAGUUGGAAAUGGAUGCAGACAUGGAAGGCAUAUUACUGGAUGUGCACCAUAUGGCUAGACAGUUGGAGUGUAUCGAGUUCUCUUACUGUUGAGAAUGAAUCUCACAUUGAUGAGAGGAAGGAUCUUGCAUGUGCUUAUAAGUAGUUGGACUAUUCCUCCUAUUGCUAAUUGGUUUUAUGAUAUGAUGUAUUAUAAACUAGCACUCAAAUUAAACCCUCUUAUUGACAAUUGUAGUACAGAUGUAAGUAGGGAUCGUUCUAGGCCAGAGAUUAGGAGGGAUUGCUAAUCUACUUAAUACUGACUCAAAAACACAAAACUAGGCUUGAAAACACUUAACUAGACUCAAAGAACUCGAAACAAACUAAAGAGACUCAAAACAACACAAAAUAAUCAAAUAGACUCAAACUAGACACUAAAGGGUGAUUUGAACGAAAAUUAAUUUUAACUUGACUUAAAACACUUAAAAACACAAGUUUGGAUAGAUUCUAACUAAUUUGACACAACAAAGUAAAGGGGAUUAGAUUUUUGACGAAUUUAAACUAAAGACAAGUAGAUUAAAGACUUAAACAAGUUUGGCAUGAAAUUGGGGGAAAUUAUGGGUGAUUGGCUAGCUAGAGGGUUCUUCUCCACACAUGACACACUUGCAUACAAAUCGAUUUCUAGUUGCUUUUCCAAUAAACCAUGAACCUCAACGCCCCAGAUUAACCAUGAACAACACUAAUUAACCCUCAGAUUUUUCUUAAGUCAUUGAAUUGGAUGGAUAACGCAUCAGCAACCAAAUUAUUCUUCAAUAGUUCCCUACAUGAACAACAUAAUAGAGAUACAAUCAAAGAUCAUUAAGUUUUGUGAAAAUCAUAAGCGUUGACAAGACAUUCGUAACUAUGAACAACAUGAUUCUCCUGCCAGGAAUUUACUUAACACGAUUGUGACUAGCAACCUCUACUACUUAUGAAUAUAAGUUCAUAACAAUUAGGUAAAACUCCCUUAUAUUCUAGCAUCAAAUUCAUGCAUGCAAACUAAGUAUGCAUCCUUAAUCAACAAACAAGAAUAAGUUCUGAAUCAAACAGUUAAAUAAAUUGCAUUCAUGAUUUAUGAAAUCACAACUGGAAGUAAUCAAUUCAUAUUGCAAAUGUGUUCAUGGCUUUGAAUUCUCCUCUAGCUAAAACGAGUUUAGCUCCUCAUGUUCACAAUUAAACAAAGAUAACUUAAAUUAAACAUUGAAAACAAAAGAUGGAUUACACCUAAAAACGUUUCAGCAAUCCAACAAUCUUGAAUGGCAGGCACGACUCUAAGCUAUCCUCUCAUUCCUUGCAAAAUUGUGGCACAAGGGUGUGAAUGAAUGGUUCUGUGGAUUGGAUGAUUGGUGUGAACUAUGAUAAAGGAUGGGGGGUUGGUCCUGAAUGGUGCGGCACAAUGUUAUAUUUAAAGGGAAAGAUAGCUAAAAUCCUAAUUAAUUUUGGAGACAGAUUUGUACACCAAAUCCUCAAAGAAGAAGGGUAAUUAAAUGUCAGAAUUCAAGGGAGAAAGGGAAAGAAGAUAUGCGGCAGGAUCCUAGAGGGAAAGGGACAAGGCUUGCACGGCAAGGAAGGGUUUCUAGAAGGGGAGAUGCGGCACCUUUUAAGAUUAGGGAAAAGACCUUCUAGAAGCCUGAUUUAGGUUUCCCAAUGUCAUUUAGAUUUCCCCCUUUCAGCUGGAAAUUAGGAAAAGCUAAGGUUUGGAUAAUGUUUCCUUUUUCUUGCUAAUUCCUUGAUUUCUUUUGUCUUGAAUUUAUUUCCUUCAUUUCCUUGCUCAUUCCUAGCCUCCUUUGAACUUCAAAUUCGUCCAUCCACCUUGCUCCAAGCAUGUGUUAUCCAUUCCAAGCCCAAAACUACUCCAAAAUGCUCCAAAUUGCACUUUCUUGCUACUUUAGCCCUUUGGACCUACAAACACACGAAAAUAGCUUAAAAUACUAAAAUAACUAGGAACUAACAACAUAAAUGCAAGAAAACAAGCUAACUAAGUCGCAAAAAUAUGCUCCUAUCAUGAUAGAACCCCGAUUUCUUCAUGGUUUCAGAGCAAAUUGUCCCACGUGUGAAGUCUAACGGCCACACGUGCUAUACGUCGCCUGAGUUGUGUUGUACACGUGUGAAGCCUAACAACCACACAUGCUCCACGUCAAUGAGUUGUGUUGUUCACAUAUUAGACUUGGAAAUUUAUCACACGUGAGGCGACGCAUUGAGAAUGAAACCCACACUGAUGAGAAGAGAGACCUUACAUGUGCUUAUAAGUAGUUGGGCUAUUUCCCAUAUUGCCAAUUGAUUUAUGGUGGAACCCCAACUUCUUCACUUACAAUUCACGUAAUCGAGUUCUCUUGCUCAAGAUGUAAACAUUUUAAUAAAACUUAAUAAAAUUCCGUCGUUUGACAAAAAAGCUCUUUUUAAAUGUUUUGUAAUUUGAUAGAGUGAGAAGUUUUCUUCUUUACUUAUUUCUCUUUACUCAAAAUCCAUAAGAAUUAACAAAGCCAUAUACUCACCCUAAAAAAAAUUAAAAAAAUGCAUAGCCAUAUACUCGAGGAGAAGAAGUCAACAGCAAAGGAAAUUAUCAAUUUUGAAGAUUUCUUUCAUUUUCUAGAUCCGCAGCACAUUACGCCAAAGUACGAGCUAGCAUUGUACACACCCCAUAAGUCCACCCAUACCACCGAGAUAUUUUUAAUGUACCUGAAGCACAAGUUGGUAUCUCAUGUGUAUCAUAAUAUAAGUGGAGAGAUAAUCUAUUUUUCAAUGUCUUUCUACUUGUAUUAUGACACAUAGUGUAUUAGUUUGUGUUCUCGGUACAUUGAAAAAUUUCUCCGUAGUACCAUAGCCAGACUCACAGCAGAGAGUGUAUAUAUAUGAGCUACCAUUGAAGACUUCCGCCUAAGUGGGGAAGCAUCAAUUGUUUGGUUUUCAUUCCAAGUCUUAUUUACAUUAAGCCAAAGAAUGUUUCAAAAUCCCGGAAUUUAGAUGGGACCACGAAUUCAUUACAUAAAUGGACUAAACACGCAAAACACUACGUACAAAUUCUUCAAACCAUAUGGAAUUUCCAAGCUAUUGACUAUUACUCAUAUGAAAGCAUAAUUCAUCACCUUAUUAUUUGAAUUAAACAAAAUAAUUCUUAUAUUCAGAUGUGAAAUUCAAAGUGUGAUCCUUUUCCCAUAAAUGUUGACUUACCAGUUAUAAAAAGUCAAUCACGAUGGGAUAGACUCGUUCGUUCCUCGUCAAGAGGCCGGGCCGACGCGUCAAAGACUCCAUGCCAACAAGUCUUUAAUUUGUUGCUCUUUCUUUACUCUUGAGCUUUGGCCUUCUUUAUUUAUAGGCUUCAGUUCUUGGUAUAUCCUACAACAAUAACACAAUCCGGUAGAAAGACAAAGAGAGAUGGAGAGCAAGGUGGUGAUUGUUUUCGGUGUGAUUGUGGCAGUGUUGUUGCACAGUGUGGCAGCGCAGACAGUACAUGUGGUCGGAGGUAGCAUAGGUUGGACCAUCCCUCAAUCCGGUGCACAAGAGUAUGUGUUGAGUUUUGGUUUCAAUAUUUGUUGUAUAUUUCAUUAUGAAGAUUACAAGAGAGUGAAGGCAACUCUUAUAGAGAGCCAAAAGAAAGCUACAAUAGAUUGUAGGAUAACUACACAAACACAAUCUCUAAAAUCUGCCCUAACAAGUGGAAAAGCAAAAACCAAAUUACAAGUAAAGAAGCUUUUACAAGCAACUAAGAAAGGUUGAUGUAAGGUGAAUAACAAGCUAUGGAAAGUGACUGGUGAAUGACAAGCUAUGGAAAGUGACUUUAGCCUAUGACUUAGCUAAAGUGAGGAUGACAACUCAUACAAACAACUCAUCCAUACAAAACCGGUUUCAAUACACCCCCUCAAGCUGGAUCAAGGGGAUUGAUUGAUCCAAGUUUGCACAACAAACGUUGAAACUGAGUAGAGUCUAGUGCUUUUGUGAAUAAAUCAGUAAGUUGAUCGUGGCUGCGUGUGAACACGGUGUCUAUCACCUUGGAUUGAACCUGAGCACGAAUAUAAUGGCAGUCAACUUCAAUAUGUUUGGUCCUUUCAUGGAAUAUUGGAUUGGAGGCAAUGUGCAUGGCAGCUUGGUUAUCACAAUACAAGGACAUAGGUGCCAUGCUUGUGAAUCUGAGCUCGGAAAGAAGACCUUUCAACCAUAUGAGUUCACAUGUUGUUGCUGCUAUAGCCCUAUACUCAGCUUCAACACUAGAUCGAGCAAUAAUAGUUUGUUUCUUGCUCUUCCAAGUGACAAGGUUCUCUCUAACAAAUGUGCAAAAACCUAUUGUGGAUUUUCGAUCAAGGGCAUUUCCAGCCCAGUCAUCCAUUGUUCCUCAUAAUUAUCCCCCUUCCUACUAAGCCCUUAAGAUAUCGAAGUAUUCUCUUGACGAUUUCCCAGUGAACUAGAGUAGGAGAGUGCAUGAACUGACUGGCUAGGCUAACUGAAUAUGAGAUAUCAGGCCUAGUAAUGGUGAGAUAAAUAAGUUUCCCAACCAUUCGCUGAUAAACACUAGGGUCCGAAAGAGGUUCACCUUUUCCAUGCCAUUGAAGUUUGCUAGCUAGGGGUGUCCGAGCUGGUUUACAUUCCAUCAUGUUAGCUUCAUCUAGAAGAUCAAGAACAUACUUUCUUUGAUUCAAGAACAAUCCCUUUGAAGAGGUAGCCACCUUAAUUCCAAGAAAGUAUUUCAAGGGCCCCAAGUCUUUAAUGGAAAUUUUUUGGUGAAGUGACUGCUUAAGCGUCUUGAUUUCACUUAUAUUGUCACCUGUAAUAAUUAGGUCGUCAACAUAUAUAAGCACAACCAAUUUGCCAGCAAUACUACUUCGAACAAAUAAAGAAGAGUCAACAUGACUCCUUUUGAACCCUGCAGCUUCAAGGACUGAACUAAGCUCUGAAUACCAAGCUCGAGGGGACUGUUUGAGACCAUAUAUGGCUUUGUGAAGUCUGCAGACCUUGUUGGGUUCAUUUUCUCUUGGGUGACCAGGAGGCAACUUCAUGUACACUUCUUCUUUAAGAUCCUCAUGAAGAAAUGCAUUCUUCACAUCCAUUUGGAAUAAGGGCCAUGCAUUAUUGACUGCCACAGACAACAAUACCCUCACUGUGUUCAUUUUGGCAACAGGAGCAAAGGUCUCCUUAUAGUCAAUGCCAUAGGUUUGAGUAAAGCCUUGAGCUACUAACCGUGCUUUGUGUCUUUCAAUGCUUCCAUUGGAGUUGAAUUUGGUCUUAUAUAUCCACCUACUUCCCACGAUCUUCUUGCCAUUUGGAAGAUCCACCACACUCCAUGUCUGGUUAUCAUUAAGAGCUUGAAGCUCUUUAGUCAUAGCAUCUUGCCACUCAGGCAUGCAUGUGGCUUCAUGAAAAUUCCUUGCUUCGAAAGUGUGAGACAAUUUGUUAAGGAAAGAAGUAUGAGAAUAUGAGAAUCUGUGAUAAGAAAUGGCUGCAGAGAUAUGAUGCCUUGCAGUGUAAGUAACAUACUUUUGUAACCUCACUGGUGGAUGUCUAUCUCGUGUAGGAUUUCUUCUUGGUGCACUUAUAGCUUGCUGAUUUGGUUGAGCUUCUGAUGGUCCAAAGGAGCUUGGCACUGCAUCAAUUACACUCUCAGUGAGUUGAGAAUUAUUAGUGCUGAUAUGAGCAGGAGUGACUUCAUGAAUUUCUGCUGGAAUAGGUAGUGGAAAUAGGUCCAUAAGAUCUUCCAUAUUAACAUUAGUCUCCAACCCUUUGUGGAAAUAAGGUGAAUAUUCAUCAAAUCGCACAUCUCUAGAGACUGCUAGCUUCCCCGUGUUAGGGUUGUACACUUUGUAACCCUUUUGAGAACUGGUAUAUCCCAUAAACACACAUUUGGCAGCUCGACGGUCGAGUUUGUCACGAUGGAGAGCUUGAAUGUGCACAUAACAAGUACAACUAAAGGUCCUGAGGUGAGACAAGUUUAUAAGCCUGCCCUUCAUGACUUCAAAAUGAGAUUUAGUAUUCAACACCCGAGUUGGUAGUCUAUUAAUGAUGUACGUGGCAGUGAGUAGGGCUUGAGACCAAAAUUUCUUAGGAACAUUCAUUUGGAUCAUAAAUGAUCAAGUCUUCUCCAAUAAGUCUUGAUUCUUUCUCUCUACCACACCAUUUUGUUGUGGUGUACCAACACAGCUAGUUUGAUGCAAAAUGCCAUGAUUGCUCAAGUAAUUACUCAUGUUAUUAGAAGUGUACUCAGUACCAUUAUCUGAUCUUAACAUAUAUAACUUAGAUGAAAAUUGAUUGGUGAUUAGAUUGUGAAAGUCCUUAAAAGCAUCAAACAAAUCACUUUUAAGUUUUAAAGGAUACAACCAGGUUACUCUAGAAUAGUCAUCAAUAAAUGUAACAUAAUAUAUAUACCCAUCAAAGGAUUCUACACGAGAAGGACCCCAAAUAUCAGAGUGAACAAGCUAAAAAAGUUUACUAGUUCUAGAAUUAGAGGAAACAAAAGGAAGUCUAAUGGCUUUUGACAUUUGACAAGUUUCACACUCUAGUGUGUUUUUACAAAAAAAAGGGAAACAACUUGGUCAUCACAUGUUCUGAGGGAUGGGCAAGGCGUUGAUGUCAUAGUUGGUGUUCCUGAACUUGACUUAAGUUGACACUGAGCUUUUUGAAAAAUUGGACUCCUUUGAGAGAUAGUAGAGUCCAUUCAAGAAGAACCCUUCACCAAUCUUUUUCUGAGUAACUCGGUCCUGAAACACAACAGUGUGAGGGGAAAAUAUGGCAAGACGGUCUAAGGUUUUUGUGAUUUUUCCUAUUGACAAGAGUUGAAAAGGAAAAGAAGGUACAUAGAGAGCAGUGGAAUCAGUAUGCUCACUUAGCAAUCUAAUCUUUCCGUUCCCUAGAAUAGGUUCCUCUUUCCCAUUUGCAAUAGAUACAUGAAUUAGAUCAAUAGUUCUUUGAAAAUUGUGGAAACUAGAGGGUUUAUUAGUUAUAUGAUCAGUGGCACUGGAGUCAAUAAUCCAAAAAUCAUGUGUAACAUUUGCAUUAAGAGCAGUGGAAAUGGCAUUGAUAAUACCUGGAAUAUUGCCUUUCGAUGUGUUCUCCGAGUCAUCCAAGAAUCCAGCAAAUUUCCCUAGCAUUGCAGUAGGGUUUUCAGGUGUCAUUUCAUCAGGUUCAGUGCUUCCUUGCUUCUUUUGAAGAAAAACAACAAACUCGUUGAUCAAGGACACAUGAUUUGUUGAGAAAUUGGCCAUCCCAUCAGUUGAGGAACAAGCUGAAUGAAAUGCUUUUGGAGUGACUCCACCCUUCCCAUCUUUGAUCAUCCUGCCUUCCCUAUCAAACUUAGGCUUUAACUCCAGAUGAAGAAUCCAACAUUUUUCUCUCAAAUGUCACUUCAUGUCGCAAUAAGAACAUUUCCAGCCUGCUUUCUUGCCAAGCACCUUAUCACCAGUUGCUUUGUGAUUUGUCGUGAAAACCCUAGCUUCAGAGUUGGAUUUGGGCUCAACGUUCAUCACUCUUUUUCGAGUUUCCUCUAUCUGGACUGCAUGACACACACUGGUAAAAGAGGGCAGCUCUUGAGUCAUUAACAAGUGACUACGCAGGUCUUCAUACUCCGCUCCCAAGCUUGCUAAGAGUUGAAACACCUUGUCUUCAUCAGCCCUCUUCAGUAGCACAGUGGAAUCAGUUGUGUGUGGACGAUACAUAUCGAGUUCAUUCCACAUGGAUUUCAUACUUCCAAGGUGUUGAACAUAGGAGUGAUCACCUUGCUUUAAACUAGCCACACUCUUCUUCAGUUGAAAGAUGCGAACUGAGUUGUUUUGGCUGCCAUACAUGUCUUUGACAGACUCCCAUAGGAGAAGGGAAGACUCUGAGUAACUGAAAAGCUCAGACAGUUUUGGCCCUAUGGAGUUAAGUAAUCAGGACAUGACCAGCUGAUCAAUAGCAUGCCAUGCAUCAUAAGUUGGUGAAGUGGAUUCUGGGGGCUCAGAGCUUCCAUUGAUAAACCCUAGCUUUAAUCUUCCUCCUAGAGCAAGUGACACAGCUCUUGACCAAGGAAGGUAGUUGAACUCGUUCAGUAUCACCGAGCAGAGUCGUUAAUUUGGAUUGUUCUUAACCCUUUGGGUUAAGUUUGGGGAGGAGGAUGAGGCACUGUCGGCACUAGACACAUUUUCUUCUGCCAUCUCUAUCGAUGAUGAGCAAAUGAAGAAGUAAAAAAAAUGAACAGAGUCAUGACCCUAUAGUUCCUGCUCUGAUACCAUAUUGAGUUUUGGUUUCAAUAUUUGUUUGUAGGAUAACUACACAAACACAAUCCCUAAAAUCUGUCCUAACAAGUGGAAAAGCAAAAACCAAAUUACAAGUAAAAAAGCUUUUACAAGCAACUAAGAAAGGUUGAUGUAAGGUGAAUGACAAGCUAUGGAAAUUGACUGGUGAAUGACAAGCUAUGAAAAGUGACUUUAGCCUAUGACUUAGCUAAGGUGAGGAUGACAACUCAUACAUACAACCCAUCCAUACAAACCGGUUUCAAUAGUAUGUCACUUGGGCUGCAAGCAACAAGUUCAUGGUUGGCGAUACUCUAAGUAAGCUUCCCAUCUCUUCUAAUUUCCAUCGUCUUCUUUAUUAAGUUAAUAACUUCGUGAACUCAUUAUUGAACUCAUGGUUUGCGAGUUUGUUGUCCCUAAUUUGUGUCUUCUUUUAUGUCUGCAUUCUAAUUUUUUUACAUGUGUCUCUCAACUUAAUUCCAUAUUUAACAAGCAGCAAACAACCAUCUAAACUCCAACGAUAAAUUUUUCAUUAUGACCGGAAUACGGGUUGUACACCACGUAUAUUUAUAUAAGUGGUCGAAAAUUUUAUAUUUUAAGUUAAUAAUUUUUUAACAUACAUAUCAUACCAUUUUUAUAGUGAAACAUGGUGUAUCAUCCCAUGUUCUUGUUAUAUCUCAAACUCCAACGCCAAAACAUGUCGACAACCACCCACACCAAUCAGACCAUCAUGUCAGCGACGCUGCUCCUUAUAGCUGUCAAAAAAUAAAAAUUUUCUAUUUCUCUCGAUCCUUCUACAUAUAUAGUGAAUCCACGAUUAUUACCAUUCAACAAGAUCACAUGAUUAUAAUUAUCAAAUGGAAUUUCAAUUAAUUUCCGUUAGCCUUGAAGUUAUUAAGUAACUAUCCAUCACUCAAGUUUUCUUACAUUUGAUGUUUCUUAAAUAUUUUCCAGUUUCUAACUUCGCCACAAACGCACACGAUGUACAAGAAGUACCCAAAGCAUCAUUCGACUCGUGUAGUUCGGAAAACCCAGUUAGCACAGCUAUCACAACUGGCCCAGCAAACAUCACUCCCACCUCUUCUAGCGACCACUACUACAUUUGCACUUAUGGCCGUCAUUGCCAGUCGGGCCAGAAGCUAGCCAUCACCGUCUCAGCUGCUUCCCCAGGCGCAUCACCUUCUGUGCCACCACCGCCCUCUACCAGUAACACCCCUCCAACUACCCCUUCCCCCACAUCAAAUGACCCUGCUGCUUGCGCACCAGUCCCUGCUCUAUCACCAUCCAUGAAUGGGGGAGUACCCACUGUGAACAUCACCCCGGGGUCUCAGCCUCCUCUGGAUUCUUCUUCACCUGCUGUUUUGGCUAGUUUCACCUUGUCGGUCACGGCUCUUGUCGCAGGCUUGUUCUUUUAGUUACCGUGAAGACAUCGACAGACUUAAUUAAUUACUAUAUUGAUGAUCCAAUCAUUUUUUAUAGUCUUUCUUGAUAGUCCCAGGUAAAUUGUAUUUGAUUAGUCUCUUUCGUUUUAUAAUUUUGUAUCGGUUGUGUAUAAGAAUCCCCGUGAUGAUUCUUUUUAGUGUACUAUCAAUAAAGAAAUUCUUCUGUUCAAAAUUCUGUUAUGCAAUAAAGAAAGAAGCAAUGUUUCUUUGCCAAAUGGUCCCAUAGUCAAUGCUAAUCUUAUGACACAUUUGUAAUAUGGCUUGGAAUUCUGUUAUGGCUAACUACAUUUCAUACCAUUAAGGUUUGUGGAGAUUUCUAAAAUGGACCAUGAAUAAUAUUUUCAUUUUAGUUAGAAUACGAUGAUGCCUAAAACCCGAAAGGUUACAAAUGAGUGACCAACCCUACUACAAUGUAACAACUCGAAUAUAUAAGUUACAAGUUGGCCUUAGAUGGAUGUUUGGAUCGUUAGGUCUGGAUCCAUUGCCUUCUUGUUAAACUUGGAAAAACGAAAUGUUCGAAUCUUUUUUCUUUGAAAAAGAAGAAAAAGUCACAAAAUUGUUAAGCUUAACUGACCAUGGUAUUAGUGGCAGAUGUUAGCAUAAACAUAAAACCAAGAACAAGUAAGAUGAACUACUAUGAACAAAACACAAACCACAGUUCAUAAACCAAUGUAUAGACAAUACCUACAGAUGAACUCGAAGAAGCAGCCAUGUCUGAUUUCUGCAAGGAGAUUGCAGUGCACAUUCUCCUCUCUUCAGUAAUCGAUUGUUCUCUUAACUGAUAAUAUGUCUUAGUCCAGAAUAAAGCGUAUUAACUAUGAGAGCAGAGGCCACUAUAUAUACACAACAUAAUCCUUGCCAAAUUUUAUAAGGAUUCCCCUAUUAGAAUCCAUAUAGAAAACUAAUUCCUUCCAAAUAGCAGUUCAGUAUAAUAUAGAUUACAAAUCCAUUCCGAAUAAGACUUUCCAUUCAAUCUAACCAAGUUCACAAUUCAUACUCAUGCUCAUAUUCUUACAUUCUCCCACAUGAGCAAGUAUGAACCAAAUAAACUAGUUCGAUUAAGAUGACAAUAGGGUGAUCACCAAGCCUUUUGAGUAUCAUCAUAAACAAUCUAUUUGUACAUUUCAAAACACAUAAUCUAAAAUCUUAAAAUCACAACCAACAUGUAACUUAUGCCUUCAGAUUACUUAUGUUCAAUCUACUCGUAUAACAUUAUGAUCAAACUGACAUUAGUGGACCUAAAUAUGUACUCCCACUAUUUCUCAACUUAAUUUUGAGACAAUCAAGUCUAACACAGACAAUAAAACUAUCAACUUGUAAUUCAUUCCAACAUAAUGAAUUAUCAACAUAUGAAUUCAAACAACUGCUCGAGUCAAAUCACAGAGAUUCUCAAAGCAUUAAAUUGAAUUCAAAACUAUAUAUAUAUGUCAGACCAAUCAAUUACAAAAUUGAAUCUCUGAAUGCAAUAAACUUAGCUAACAAUUAUACUAACGGAUAAUUAUACUAGCUAAACAUAAACUUAACUUUAGAGAAGAACAUACUAGCUAAACAUAAACUUAACUUUAGAGAAGAACAUUACUUGCUACACCAGCUCUUCGAACUUCACAGUAGCAUCACUUCUCAAACUGUAUUAUUGCGAUUGUCUUCAAUGCAACAAUUGUUCUUUCUAAAAUAGAAUAACAAACUACUCUCACUGAUCAAAAGAUUCGAGCACAUCCAUCCUAAAGAUUUGUACCCUGAAUAUACCAACUGGCAACGCUUUAGUUAAGGGGUCAACAACCAUCAGACUUGUACUAGUAUGCUGCACAUCAAUACAUCUUUAAAGGCUUCUGUAUUGAUCUCACAAUCUUCAAUUCUGCCACAAAAUUCUUUAACCAAACUCCCUGCUUCAUUCCUUCAAAACAUGCCACGAAUUAUGCCUCCAUAGUGGAAGUUGCAAUAAUAGUUUGCUUGGCACUCUUCCAAGACACUGCACAUCCACCAAACAAAAAAAUAUAUCCACUAGUUGAUUUCUUGUCAUCUAAAUCACCUGCCAAAUCAGAAUCCAUGUACCUUUUCAUUUCAAGUUCUUCUUCUCUACCAUACACAAGCAUAUAGCAUUUAGUUUGUUGCAGAUACCUUAAAACUUUCUUGGCAGCACUCUAGUGAGCUUCCCUCGGAUUAGAUUGAAAUCUUCCCAAAAUUCCUUCAAUGUAUGCAAUGUCAGGCCUUGUACAAACAUUUGCAUACAUUAAGCUUCCAACUAGUGAUGCAUAUGGCUUUUCAGACAUCUUCUUCACUUCAAAAUCGGUUCUUAGACAUUGUUCUUUUGAUAAAUGAUCCCCUUUGUUCACUGGUACAUGACAACCAUUACAGUUUUCCAUAUUGAACAUGGUCAAAAUUCUUUCAAUAUAUGCUUUCUGUGAGAGUCCUAACAAUUUUCUAUUUAUGUCUCUAGCAAUCUCAAUUCCUAAGACAAAAUGUGCUUCACCAAGGUCAUUCAUUUCAAAAUUUGCACUAAGAAAUGUCUUUGUCUUUUUUAACAACUGAAUGUAGGAAUUAGCAAGUAGUAUAUCACCAUCGUACAUGACUAAGAUUAUAAACUUUGUCCCAUUGAACUUGAGAUAGAUGAAGUCAUCGAGUUUGUUCUCAACAAAGCCAUUAGAUGUAAUCACUUGAUCAAACUUUAAAUACCAUUGUUUGGAAGCUUGCUUGAGACCAUAUAUUGACCUCUUUAAUUUACAAACCAUAUUCUCCUUCCCCCUUUCAAUAAAUCUAGGGUUUAAACCAUGUAAAUAUCUUCUUGAAGAUCACCAUUGAGGAAAGCUGUUUUUACAUCCAUUUAAUGUAACUCGAGAUUAAAGUGUGCAGUUAUUGCUAUAAUGAGUCUCACUGAAUCUUUGGAAGACAUAGUCAAUUCCUUCUCUCUGAGUGAACCCUUUAGCAACCAAUCGAGCUUUAUACCUUUCAAUUUGUCCAUAUGCAUCCCUCUUAGUUUUAUACACCCAUUUGCACCCUAUAAGCUUUAUAUCAGACUUGCUCCACUAACAACCAAACCUGAUUCUUGUACACUGAUUCUAGCUCAUUCUUCAUUACAUUGUUCCACAAAAAUGACUAUGAACUCUUCAUGGCCUGUGAAUAAGUUGUCGGAUCAUCAAUGUCUCCAAUAUUGUAGUCAAUUUCUUGAAGAUAACAAAGGAAAUCACUUGUAAUUGCAAGUUUUCUUGUUCUUGUAGAUCUUUUAAUUUCAGGUUGAAUUUGAACAUUGUCAAUUUGCUGAGAAUUAUCAAUAUGUUUAGUAGUUUGUUGACUCGACUCAUACUCUAUUUUAGUUACUUCUGGUUGCUCCAUCACUUGAUCAGUUUCUUCAUUGUGAUCAGACUCAAUGUGUUGUUCCUUGGCUUGGGAGUACACCAAAACUGGGCAGUGUUCACUUGAAGAUGCUUCAAUUGAUGACUGCUCAAGUUUCUCAAAUAUAAGGUUCUCAAUGGUAAAAUAUGAGACAUCUUGAUCUUAAAAAAAUCUUGCAUUGUGGGUUUCCUUGAUUCUUGUAUGAGCCUGUGCACAAUAGAACUUAAACCCUUUUGAUUUUUCUGAGUAACCUACAAAAUAACAGGACUCAGUCCUAGGAUCCGAUUUCCUUUCCUCUGGAUUAUAGAACCCAGCCUCUGUUUUGCUUCCCUAAAUGUGGAAGUGACCAAAGCUUAUCAUUCUACCAUACCAAACUUCAAAAAGGGUGGUUGACAUUGAUUUGCUAGGGACAUGGUUUAGUAUGUAAUUAGCAGUCUUUAGAGCCUUACCCCAUAAGAAACUUGGCAACUUAGACCUUGACAUUAUGCUUCUCACCAUGCCAAUCAAUGUCCUGUUUCUUCUUUCAGACACUCCAUUUUGUUGUGGUGUACCAGCAGUUGUGUAUUGAGUCACAAUUCCUUGUUAUUCAAGGUAGAGAGCAAAAUGACCCUUAUGUUGUCUAUACUCUGUGUACCUGCCAAAAAUAUUAUUCACCCCUAUUUGAUCUAACAAUCUUAAUGGAUUUGUUUAAUUGUUUUUCUACCUCAGUCUUAAAGAUUGUGAAACAUUUAAGAACAGCUGACUUUUCACUCAUUAAAAAGGUAUAACUAAAUCUUGAAAAAUCAUCAAUGAAAUUAGGGAAAUUUUAUUUGAACUCAUAUAACCUCUUUUUACACCCAACGUACUUUCUACACCCAUAUUACUUUGAACUAAUCUAUCAAUAUCUCUUUAAAUGCAAAUUCAUGACCUAAACUACCCUCACAAACCCAAUUUAAUUGGUAAAUUUACCUUUACUCCCAUUUAGAAAAUACAGAUCCAAAAUCGAGAACUAUGGUAAAUUUACCUUUACUCCCAUUUAGAAAAUACAGAUCCAAAAUCAAGAAGAACUAUAUAAUACUUGAAAUGAAGCAUUAAGAACUGUACCAACUAUGAAGAAAAUCCCAGCAAUUAAAAUGGUCAGCCUUCGCCCUAACCUUUUGGUAGUGUAUGUUGCAAAGAAGGUCAAUACCAAAUCAACAAGGUACAUCAAAGAGGUGACGAAUUGAACAAUUGCAGGCCUUGAUUGUUAAAUCAUAGACUGAUGCCAAAGAAACUAAAAUUUUUUAGUAUAGUCUCCAUCUCCAUGUUCUUUGUUUGUUUUUAUGCUUUAAAAUACACAAAACAAAAAUAUUGUAAGUGUUGGUUGUCAUGAUCACAUUCUGAUAAGAAAAAUGGAGUAUUGACUUAAGAAUUUAAUUCAAUUGGAGUUUUGGUUUUUAAUUUAAGAAUUAGUGAGUCAUGGUUCCGAACUUGUAUUAGUGUAGAUCAAUGAUGUUUUUGGAUAACUCAGUUAGAACUUAGAACUUUUUCUCUUGUAGCUUUUUAUUUUAGCCAGAAUGAACAUAAGAUAAAGAUUGUGUGAUGUAGGGUUUGAUUAUUGUGUGCGGGUUUAUUGAUAAAUUUUAGUUUCAUUGUUAAUUUCAUCUUGUACUUGAUGUAAUUAUGCAAUAGGGUAAAAAGGACUAUUCACAUUUAAAGUUUAAGUUGGGUGUAGAGUGAGAUUAUGUGGGUUCAAAUAAAAUUUCUCAUGAAAUUAACAAAGUACCUGUUUCCACAAAUCGUUUUAGUUGGGAAAUGACCACAAAUAUCAGUAUGAAUAAUCUCAAGUAAAUUUUUGCUUCUUUUGGCUUCAAAAUUUUGAAAAUUAGUUAGCUUUCCCUUGAAACAAUCCACAUAUUCAGUUGCAGUUUCGAAAUCAAGUGAAGAAAUCAAGUUUGAUUUUGACAGUUUAGUGAUUCUUUCUUUUGAUAUAUGAGCUAAUUUCUUGUGCCAAAGAAUGUAAGAAGUGUCAGUGUUUAACAUUCUCUUAGUACUUGUAUUUAGUGCAUGAUGUUCAUUAAAAACCACAAUACACUCCAACUGCCAUAAGUUUUCAACUAAUCUUGCAGUCCCCAAAGUGGAAUUAAAAUAGUUCUUUUGAAAAAGUUGCAAACAUUCAUCAUCACCUAGGAAGGAAAAACCAUUUUUCACAAGUUUAGAGGCUGAGAUCAAAUUUCUUCUCAUCUUUGGCACAUAAAGCACAUCAUUCAAUUGUAAAAUGAAACCAGAAUUCAGUUUUAACCUAAUUGACCCAACAACUUUGACUACAACUUUUGUGUCACAUCCAAGGUAUUAAAUAUCGAUGAUAUCGGAAAUAUCGGUAGUCCAAAAACACGGAAAUAUCAAUGGAAAUAUCGGGAUAUUAUCGAUAUCGAUAAAAAUAAUAUGGAAACCACGGAAAUUGUAAGAAAAACUUGGAAAUUUUUAUUGAAACUUUGCACGAUGUUUAUUUAGUCAAUUAUCUAUUAGUUUAUCACAAAAAAAUGGAAGGAAAUGCAUUGCAUGAUGGAUUUAAUUGAUUUAAGUUAAUUAUAUAGCGAGCUGACAAACAUUGUGAGUGUAAAAAAUAUGUAGUAAUUAAUGAAAGAAGUUUAAACACACCAUAAUCAUUUAUAUAUAAUGAAUUAGUACAAUAUUUUACACUUUAUACAUUGCAUGGUAAGAUACAUGAGUGACUUAGUACCACAUAAAGUUCAUAAAAGGUUCAAAAUUUUCACUAUCUUCAUCAUCUCUAUGAGUAGAGUAAGUGUAUUGUGAAGAGUAGUCAUCAAAUGAUAAAUCCCCAAAAUAAUUUUGCAUGUAAUUGUUAACAUGCCAUCUAUAUGCAAUUGUUAACGGCAUUUUUGUCACAUUUUUUAAUAUUUUAUUUUUGUUUUAUAUAAAUUUUUCUUGUUUGUUGUACCACAAAUCAUGUGGCUAGUAUAUAAAGAAAAGAAAGCACUGAGUUUCCAAAAAACAUAAUAAAAAAAAAAAAAAGAAGGAAAGCUACUGUUCAUGAACAAUAGUCAUAUCAUGACGUAUCAUUUUCAUAUCAGAAUCAGACCAUAUUGGUUAGAGAGUAAAAUUGAUGAUCGAUGCACGUGUUGAUGAUCACUGCACUCUUUCUUUUCCAUUUGUUUUGGUUUUUUUUCUUGGGUUUCACUUCUCUGUCUGUCAUUUCCUGCUUUUUUUUCUUUCUCCGGUUCUCCCUCAUUCCUCUCCUUGUUUCUUCUCCGGUUCUCCCCCCAUCUCUUCUCUGCAACUCUCCUUCCCGAAGCACAGACACACCACACACACAACCCACCGUGACCUCCACCACAGUGGCACACACUCUGCCGAGCACCAUCACCACAUGUGGACCGUUCCUCCUCCCCUUCUCACUUCCCGGCUGCGGCAAGCACCAUCAGGCAAGGGGAGGCCUUGUUUAGGUCAUACGAGGCUCUCAGAUGAUCAGAUCCAUCAAAUCCGAGCGGGGAUUGCUCAUUUUCAGGGUCUGAGCGUGGAUUGCAGAGAGAGGAUUGCUCAUUUUCAAGGUCUGAGCAUGGGUCUAAGCGUGGAUUGCUCAUUUUCGGCUGCCGUUGCGACGAUGACGACGGAUCCGGCGCGAUAAUAUCGAUAGUAUCACAAUAUUAUCGAUAUUAUCGCGAUAUUAGUACGAUAAUUAAGUGUAAACGUGUGAAAAUAUCGCUGUCUAAAAAAAUGAUAUUAUCGGCGAUAUUUCGCCGAUAAUAUCGAUUUUUCAGUCCUUGGUCACAUCCUAGCCCGGGCCCCCACCACAUCCUAGGCUUGACUCCACCGUAGCACGAUAUUUUCCGCUUUGGGCCCUAACCACGCCCUUACGAUUUUGUUUCUGGGAACUCACACGAGGCCUUUUGGGAGCUCACUGACUUCGGGUUCCAUCGGAACUCCGAAGUUAAGCGAGUUCGCGCGAGAGCAAUCCCAUGAUAGGUGACCCACUGGGACCAGGGCCGGGAUGUGACAUUUUGCCCCUUCCCCCACAAAAACAUUGAAAUAGUUAAAGCUAGCAUCCUUUUAUUUUUCAAAACCAUGCAGUGAGUUAGUUAUGUGAACUGUGCAGCUGGUAUCAAAUCACCAAGAGUUAAAAUGAGUUGAAUAUCAGAGUGCGGAACGAACAAGGCUAACAAAAUAAGAAUAUUAUUAAACAAACGAAAAUGUCAGAACGGCUACAAAACCCUAAAAGGCUACAUUGUGACUAACUUGUUCUCUAAUGAACAACAAAGCACCCUAUUUAUAAUAAACUAACCCUAAUCUAACAAAACCUAAUUCUAACGGGCUAAGCCUAGAAAACCAAACAUUCAAAUAAACCAAAAUACUAAUAUUUUCCAACAAAAUGAACCUCAAUUAAGUUUGACUCUACACAUACAUUAACUAUCUAUUUCCCAUUAGCUUUUAGAUAGUCCUUAAAUAGUUCACAAUCUUUUCUUAAAUGACCUCGAGUUUUGCAGAAAAAACAUUUAAGUUUAGCAACAUUUUUAACCUUUGGUUUAAGAUUGUUAGAUCCUUUAGAAGUUUCAAAUAUUUUAGCAGAAGCACCAGUCUUAUCAGAAGGUUUAGGGUACUUGAAAUUCUUACCUGGAUUAUUUCCAGCAUUGUUGAAUUUUCUUCCUUUCCCUCCUUGCACAAAGUUCACAGUUUUAGUGUCUUUGCCCUUCUCUUGCCUCUGUCGAGUUUCUUCUUAAACACACUGUGCAAUGAGCUCAUCUACAUCCCAACUCUUGUCUUGUGUGUUAUAGGACACCUUCAAUUGAGAAUACUUGUUUGGGAGGGCUUGCAGAAUCAUGAAGAACAAUAGAUCCACUCUGGAUCCUAGUGUUCGGGGUCUAGAAAUCAAUUCAUCUGAACCGCACAAAUUGAAUCCAACGAUCUCCAUUAACUUAUUUUCUUGGCCCACCAUAUAAAAUCAACAGCUCUGAUUUUUUUUACACACCAAUCAAUAGCUCAGAUAAUUUGAUCCCUAGGCUCCAGACACUAAGGUCCGGAACGGAUCCAAUUCCUUUGAUAAGGCGGGGCGGCAGCUCUUUAUUUGGCAGAUUUGACAAGACGUUGGUAUAAAAUGUAGCAUGCAAACAGAAAGAACGUAAACUUAGAGACUUCAGGGAUCCGGGCCUGAAGAGCUCUUCAAUUCUUAAGUUGUAACCAACAUUUUACCUGUAGAUUGUUUUGAAGUUGUAUAUGUGACUGUACCUUUUUUUUUUUUUUUUUUUAAUAUAAGUGGAAGUAUUAUGUUAAUUACACUAAAAGAAGGGGAGAGUAUGAACUUAGUUGAAGUGAAUUGGUGAGUAAAACUAUAACCACUAGGAAACUUCACCCGUUGUAUAUGUGAUUAUACCUUGAUGUAAGGUCGUCGAUCUCUUCAUAUAAAGUGGUUUGCACGGUGAUAUAAGUUUCAUGUAACUGAUGUUAAUUGCUCGGAACUGUCUUUUGCUGUUCUGAGACAAAACUGAAUGUUUGAUAUUCAAAUUAUCAAGCUGUGUGUGCUUAUUCGAGAAUCGAGAGUUUGAGGGUAAUUCUAUUUGUGGUUAUAGAUUCAUUUGGAAGGGUUUUUAAAAUGAUUGAAAACGUUUUGAUGAAAAUGUUCUUGAAACCAAUCUUUAGUAAAAAUCCAAGUACAUAUCUAGUGUUUCUUUCAAAAAGCACUUAAAGUGUUUUUAGAAUCCAUAAUCAAUUUCACCAAAAAUUCUUUCAAUCAUUUUAAGAGAACUUUUAAAUAAGCCCUACAUAAGCUCUUCACAGCUGAAUCGAGAUCUUGAGUUGUGCUCGCAUUCCAAUUGAUUUUGGCUAUCUAUGCACGUAGUAACCAAGGAAGAAAAAAUCGAUAAUAUCAGCGAUAUUUCGCCGAUAUUAUCGUUUUUUUGGACAUCCGAUAUUUUUUUAACUAUCCAAAAGAUUUUCAUCAAAAUAUCGCGAUAUUAUCGAUAAUAUCGCGAUAUUUUUAAAAUUAUCGAUAAUAUCGUAUUAUAAUAUUUAAAAAUACUUUAAAAUGUUGAGAAAUCUCAACAUAUACUACACUUGAUCAAAGCCCAAAGGCCAACCAAGACAUGCUUUUCUCAGCAUGUGAAUGUGCCUUUUAUAGGCGUUCUUGGCUUGCUCACUGCCCUCGCUGGGCGAUGUGGGACUCGACCAAGGAAGAAAAUAGGAAUUUCGGCCGAAAAUCCACACCCACUUUAAACGGCCAUAACUUUGUCAAAACUCAACCAAAUCAAGCAAGACAAAAACGAAAGUUGUAGCCCUCAAAGCGACGAAGAGAAUGAUACCUCACACGACAUCUGAAUUGUCGUGGUGUGGCCGGCAAAUGCCUCGAAAGUCACUGAGGUCGCUGAAAACUGGGUAAGAUUCAAAUGAGUAUAACUUUUUCAAUACGCAACGAAAUUGAGUGAAACAAAAAGGAAAGUUGUACUAAUCGACGAGACGAAGAGAUUGAUACCUUUUACACUGGUCAACUCGCCGUGUUUUGGCCGGAAAUUUCCUCGAAAGCCACUGAGGUCGCCGGAAACUGGGUAAGAUUCAAAUGAGUACAACUUUUUCAAUACACAAGGAAAUUGAGUGAAACAAAAAAGGAAAGUUGUAGCCCUCGAAGAGACGAAGAGAAUGGUACCUCACACGACGUCUGAAUCAUUGUGGUUUGGCCGGAAAUUUCCUCGAAAGCCACUGAGGUCGCCGAAAACUGGGUAAGAUUCAAAUGAGUAUAACGUUUUCAAUACUCAACGAAAUUGAGUGAAACAAAAAGGAAAGUUGUACUACUCGACGAGACGAAGAGAUUGAUACCUUGCACGCCGGCCAACUAGCUUUGGUUUGGCCGGAAAACCAAAACGUUUUGUCUCAAGGGCUGGUACAUGUGAACUUGUGACUCCAACUAGGUAAGAGCCAGAUCUAAUUUGGGGCCUUCUAUCCUAUAUCUGUGGACAACCAUCAAAUGCUAAAGAUUAAACAAACAUAAUAUGUUCUACUGCUUAGCAAAAAAAGCUACAAACCCUUUGCUUAUCAACAAAAAAAGACAAGUCCUUACACUAGAUAUACUUUCAAAUUACGUUGAGUAGCAACCUGAUAUAUGUAUUCGGACGAAUUAUAAAACAAUUGACACACUCCUGACUUCCAAAAUUCAAUUCUUUUACUUUAUAUAAACUUGAAAAAACAUAAUCGGCAUCCCAAAUUAAAGUUUAGUCUUAUUUCAAUGUAUUGAUUUUCAAUCGUUAAUUGAUAUACUAUAAUUUGGAACUUCAAACGCCUAGACGCAUGCUUAUCUGUAAGAAAUUUAAAGUGUCAAAUUCGGCACAUUAUUCUUCAUCAUUUUUAUUCACUUCCCUUUUUUUUUUAAUAUCCUAAAUAAAACCUCCAAAAUAUUGUACUAAUUCAUCAUUAUAUAUAAAUGAUUAUGGUGUGUUUAGACUUCUUUCAUUAAUUACUACAUAUUUUCUACACUCACAAUGUUUGUCAGCUCGCUAUAUAAUCAACUUGAUAAUGUUAAAUCCAUCAUGCAAUGCAUUUCUUUCCAAUUUUUUGUGAUAAACUAAUAGAUAAUUGACUAAAUAAACAUCCUACAAAGUUUCAAUAAAAAUUUCCAAGUUUUUCUUACAAUUUCCGUGGUUUCCAUGUAAUUUUUAUCGAUAUCGAUAUUUUACCGAUAUUUCCAUCGAUAUUUCCGUGUUUUCGGACUACCGAUAUUUCCGAUAUUACCGAUAUUUUCUUCCUUGGUAGUAACACUACUUUGAACAAAAAAAAUAAAAAGGAAGGAACCCUUGAAAAUUGAGUUGAGAUGCAAAUUGUUUUUCAUGCUACAAUAUUGCUAUAUUUUCAGAAUUAAUAUAUAUUACACUAAUUUGUACAUAAUUGUUUAAUCUACCGACAUAUAACGUGGAUCAUACUUGAUCAUAAAAAAUUACUGUGCAUUAUGAUUGAAGUUUUCUUAGUCACACCCCACUACACAUCUAAGUUUACCUGAUAAUUAAGUGUUUAAAUUCAAUUCUACCCUUACUAAAAAAAAUUGAAAAUCCAAGAUUUUGGGAAAAACAACCUCGUCGUACCACCACGCCAGAGUCGUCCACCAGCCCGAAUUCUGGCCUCCUCGCUCUCACUAAAGCAUUCAAAGUAGGGCAUUAUUGCCAUUGAGGAGCUGUUUGAUCUCUUCUUUUUACUAAUUAGUGAUAUAAAGUUUGGUGUUAGAUAAAAUGCUAAACCCACCACACGACAUAAACAAGAAAACAUAAAAUUAAAAAAAGGAAGCAGCAAGAGGGAAUAAAAUUGAAGAACCCCUAAUUCUAAUUUCAUAUUAAAGAACUGGAGGGAGAGAGAGAUGGGUGAGAACGAGAAGUCGACGGCGGGGCUUGUAGGGAUUGCAGCUGAUGGUUGGAAACAUGGGCGAAGGUGGUGGGUUUCUUAUCCUGGUCUUCCUUUCUUUUUGUGGUCAAAUUAUCUUGGUCUUCCUUGACUUUUGAUUAAUUCUAACUCAAAUACUACAAAUUUAUAAUUAUAACGACUAUGGAUGAUACAUGUCCAAAAUGUCCGCAUUGUCAAAUCUAUGAGUUCACACAUAUAUGACUGCCUAGCUACUCAGCCUAGUGAAAAUAUAUGAUACUGUAUGGGAUUCAUGCAUACUAUAACGUGUAUAAUUUAUAAAUAUAUUCUUAUAUAGUAAACUGUAACUUAAUUAGAAAUCUUAGGAGCAUCAUAACUGAAACGUCAGCAGCAUCGUGUAAAUUUCAAGUUUGUGGUUCCAAUUCACGGAUAUAUAGGGUAUGACUUUUGGAAAAUAUCUGCAUAAGUCAACUCAUUGGUGGCCUAUAUUUCGUAAGUAGGCUUCUAGUCGUAUAAUCUUGUUACAAGUUAGUUCUCUACCGAUGAAAAAUAACCUCAAUUAGGCAAAGAGGGAAAAUUUGUUAGAAAAGUCAUUGUGUCAUAAGUAGUGGCAGUUAAAAGAUAUACAUAUUCAAGAAAUAGGGUAUAUUGAAGUAUUUGAUCUAAAAUAUCAAAUUUACUUUUGGUAUAUCUUUUAAUAUUUUCAAACUGUGCCAUAUUGAAUUUGAACUGUAGGCAUUUAUUCUAAUUGGCUAGAGUAGUGUGAUCCUCCAAGUUUGAUUAUCUAGCUCUGUGCAAAAGCUCUCUACUCUCAUAGUUCAUUUUUCUAGUUAGUUCUCUAGAGUUAUCACUUUAGCCCUAGGUGCUGGGAGGCGAAGCUCUGUGGGGUAACUCAACAUAUUGUAGCCCACCCGACAUCCUUCGAGUUCCUAGAUGUACAAGGAGGUACUUCGCAUCGAUCGUGGAGCAUUUGGUGGUGCUUGUAGGAUAGUGUCGUGGUUCCUAACUUCCGCAUAGAGGCAAGUUCGACCCUCUAUUCUUGUUAUAGUUUUCCAACAAUGGUAUUAAAGUCACUCACACACUCCUCGCAUGAUUACAUGUUUUAUUUAUAUAGAGUGAAGUGCCAAUUUAGUCCCUGAACUAUUACCUCAGUGAAAAUUAGGUCCCUAAAUUAUUUUUUGGUAAAAUAAGUUCCUCUAUUCAUUAAAAAUUGCUAAUUUCAUCCUUACUAUUAUAUUGAAAACAAUUUUAUCCAAUUUUUAGUCAACUUAAGUCACUUGACACACUUUAGAGGUAAUACCGUCAUUUUCUUGCCUAUAAGCCCUUAACAUUUCAUAUAUAUUGCGAAUCUAACGUUUAGCUUACCCGCAAAAGUGAACUCCAUACACUAUUUCCUUACUAAAAGUUACCAAUCUACCCUCCAAUGUGUAUCACAUCCAAGUAACAUGACAAAUUAAAGGAAAAUUCAAUAUAGUACCUUCGAAUAUAAUAUUAUGGAUGUAACUAGCAGAUUUUUGUAAUUCAAUGACUGCAUGCAAAAGCAAUAAAGCCACACUUGGCAUGUCAUAUAAAGUAUCGAAUAAGACUAAUAGUACGAAACCGGUUGUUUGGUUCAUUUUUGUAUUAAAUAGCCACCUGACUAAAUAAUCCGAAUUCACUUGUUUUGUUUAGUCCACACCUGCUACUCCAAAAGGUAAGACUCAUCGAAUUCAAAUGUGAGAUCUUUUAGCAAUCUAUUGUUAAAUAGCCCAGCCUUGGCUUGUCUUUCUCAAAUCCCUUCGUAUGAGUUUCUAGCUUCACCAUGGAACUCUUCUAUCCCCUUCAUGCCUUAAUUCCCAAACUCAAUUUUCACUUUGAGCCUUCGAUGAUUAGGAUUUGUAACCAAGAAACUUACCAUAUCCAUAUCUAUCAUUACAAACAAAGUCAAGUGAAAUAGGGAUAAACCAUAACCUUUUAAUAGUCACCUUUAUUUCCUUUAAUGUGUUCCAUAGCAUUCAUCCCUUACUGAACCAUCAGCAACGUUCUCCUUGCAAUUAUAGCAUACGUGUUCAACUUUAGGAGAGUGUUGAGAUUCUUUAGUGGGUUCUUCUUCAUUGGUGCCUUCUUCGCUCUUCAUCGGAAUAGAGCUUCUGAUGACAGAUUGACUCACAUUAGAGUUGACGAUCCUGGUUGAAUCAACUCCAUAGUAUCCUUAAGAAAAUUUGCAGGUGGGAGUUUGUCUCCCCCCAAAGAAUUGUACUCAUUUUGCCUGUUCACAGAACUUUGAUAAUUUACAUGUUUUAUGAGAAAUUAUAAUUUUAUCCAAGUCAUUAAUCUUGUUAGAAUAAAGCACUUGAAACUUUUCAUUCUUUGCUUCCUGAUCAUGGAAUAAUAAUUAAUCCGACAAAAUCUUUCCAAAAUAAAUCUAACCCUGGAGUAAUGAGUAAUAGAGUAAAACACGAACAAAUGCGCAGACCCAUGACAGAGCUCAAAGCUCCCCUAGGUAACAUUGAUUUGAAAAAAUAUUACCUCCUAGGCUUGGUGUUCAUAAGGGUUUUCAUUGUGAUAAUUGAAGAACCACAUUUCUUUGACACCAGGUCUAAGCCCAUGAAAAAUGUUUUACUCCAUACUCACCAUUGUGCAUUGGUUGGAUUAAGAAUGAGAAAUUAUGAAACCUUGUUUGGAAUGUUCUUUAGAGCUUUGACUUAGAUGAGCCUUCCUUCUUCCGAAUGGCAUGUUGCUUUGUUCGUUCACCUUACCCCAUUCUAGAGAUGAAGAUUUUAAAGAUUGCAAUGUGUUGUUAAGAAGGGGCUUCCUUCUAGUUCGAAUUGCGUGUCCGUCAUUAGUGAAUUUUAAACAAAAGUUUGUUAUGGACUUGGUCGCUUGCAUGUGGGUUUGAAACACCUUUAGAAUGCGUCAAAGUUAAACGUUUUUGAUUGGACUACACUUAGCUGGCUUGGCUAAGGCACUUUCGAGUACGGAGCUUUGUUGGAAUAAAAUUCCUCUUGAGGAUUUCCUAGUCUGGGUGCCUCUUUCGGACCUUGUCAUGGUGUUGCAUAAUGCACUUAACUUAGUACAAUCGUCCGAGAUAAAAGUAAUCGUACUCAGGGUUGGGACUCAGAGCCACCCCUCAAAUGAUUCCCGAUUGCCUUUUCCAUCAUUCCCUCGAAUGGUGUAGAGCCCGGGUUGAAUGUUAUAACCCACAACCCUUAGGUUGUAUAAUCUUUCCGAAAGAUGGAAAGUGAAUUGGACUUCCAAGUCGGGGGGUCAUGUCUCGUGCCUGUAGUUCGCCAAUCGUAACCGCACUUAAUAUGACUCGAGCCUCCUAAGUUGCUAACCGAACACUACAUAGUGGGCUAAAGGAGACACCUGUGACCCUAUCAGUUUGAAUUUUAAACUUGCGAUUACGCGAAGUUUCAAAGUUGUGUGUUAUUCAAGGAAUUUUAGGGUAUUCCAUUCACCGCAAAAGAAAAGAACGAACAAACAUGUAGCAUAUGCGAGUAACUCUGAAAACUCUUUCAUUGAAUAAAAAUGGGUGUUGACAAAUGGGGCGUGAUUGAAUCCGAAAAGGAUUACGUAUUUGCGAAAAAGAGAAUCAAAUGACUGGUGUAGUUUCAAAAAAGAUGAGAAAAAGUAAACACUUGUCAUGGUGAGGCGAUAAAGAGAUAAUGGGAAUCAAAUCGCAAAGCUUAUUCUAGAACGGUUUGGCUCCGCCUUUUAUGAAAACAACUUUCAAAUGCAAAUACAUGCUGCUUUUAAAAACUGUUGUAUGAAAGCUAUUACGUUUAAAAUAAGCAUGAUAUUUUAUUUUCAUCAAACAGUUUUUACUUCUAACUUGUGUAUAAAGCAUCUUUUUAGCUUACAAAAAAAAAAAAAAAAAAGAAAACCAAACGGGUUUAAGCCAAGAAUUAAAGUUUUGAAAUCUUGGAAUUUUGAAGUUUGGGAGGUUCACCAAAAUUUUAGUGACGUUGAAUUAUACCCUGUACAUAUUCUUCAAACCAAUAAUUAAUUAGGAUUUAUUACUUAAAAGAACCCUUAAUGUUGACGUACUAAUUAGAGAAGGUCAAGCAUCAUUAAACAGAAACAAGAAAAAGAAAAAGUAGGAACUUUCCACUUUGUAACUAUGUUCCACACGGAAGACCGACAUGGACCAAGCAAACAAGCAAAGAUGACCGGCUUCACAAUAUGCAUGUUCUCAUUGUUCUUUCUCAAGGCAGCCGCGUAGACUGCAACAAGUCUAACUUGCUUUUUCUUUACUCGUCAGCUUUUCCUUCUCUAUUUAUAGGCUUCAAUUCGAGUAUCCUUGCCACACACUCUCAUCAGUGAUCACCUACAACAACAAUACACAAUUUUCGUAGAAGUAAAGAAAUUUAGUCGAUGGAGAGCAAGAUGGUGAUUGUUUUUGGCUUUGUAGUUGCAGUAUUUUUGCAGAGUGCGGCAGCGCAGACAGGACAUGUGGUGGGAGACAGCAUAGGUUGGACCAUCCCUCAAUCUAGUGCACAAGAGUAUGUCACUUGGGCUGCAAGUAACAAGUUCGUAGUUGGUGAUACUCUGGGUAUUUUCUCUUCUCAUCUAUUUUCCAUCUCCGUCUUCAUUAAAUUAAUUACUUCAUGAACUCAUUAGUGUAAUGCAAACUUCAAAUAAACGAGCUGGACCAAUCAGUUGGUACUAAUAGUGUGCAACUGUGAUUGUUUCGAGGUAACUAUCCAUCAAUUAAGUUCUCUCACAUUUGAUGUUUCUUAAUAAUUUUCCAGUUUUCAACUUCGCCACCAACGCACACGAUGUACAAGAAGUACCCAAAGCAUCUUUCGACUCAUGCAGUUCCGAAAACCCAAUUGGCACAGCCAUCACAACUGGCCCAGCAAACAUCACAUUCACCUCCGCAGGCGACCACUACUACAUCUGCACUUAUGGCCGCCAUUGCCAGUCGGGACAGAAACUAGCCAUCACCGUCUCAGCUGCCUCCCCAGGUGCCGCACCUUCUGUGCCGCCACCGCCCUCUACAACUAACACCCCUCCAACUACCCCUUCCCCCACAUCAAACGACCCUGCUGCUUGUGAACCUGUCCCGGCUCCAUCGCCUUCCAUGAGUGGAGUACCCACCGUGAACACCACCCCUGGGUCGCUGCCUCCGUUGGGUUCUUCUUCACAUGUUGUUUUAGCUAGCUUCGUUUUAUCCUCCUUGGCUCUUGUCGUGGGUUUGUUCUUUUAGGUGCAGUAGACAUCGGCAUUUGGUCAUCCAAUAAUUUUUUGGGGUCUUUUGAUAUGGGUCCAAUUGGACUAAAAAUUGGACCUAUUUCAAAAGUCAAAAGUCACUAAAACGAGACAUCGGCUUUCUUACUUACCAUAUUGGUCAUCCAAUAUUAUCUUUUUUAUAUUUUUUCUUUCUUGAUAGGGCAGGGUAAAUAGUUAUUUAUUUUAAUCUCUUUUUUAUUUUUGUAUCGGUUUUGUAUAACAGAACCGUGAUGAUUUUUUGGAGUGUGCUAUUAAUAAAGGAAAUCUUGUAGUUGAAAAUAAUGUUAUGCACUAUGUUGGAACUUCGAACGUUAAACUUGUUUGUAUGGUGUUUAAAAAAAAUCAUUAUACAAAAUACAAAAAGAAAACGAUUGUAAAAUGUCUUUGAUACCUUGGUUUUUAAGAACAAACUCAUAAAAUAAAAAUAAAAACUAAAGACAAUAUUUAGUUUUAGUAAAACAUCAAGCAAGACAUGUAUACUUAAUUAUUAAACAAGAUUACUGUUUAAGAAGAAAGUUCAUAUACACAAGCACCAAUCUUACCAUGAUGGUCACACCUAUCGUCUUAACUGCUAUUGCUAUCACUAUUUUCUCAACUAUACCACUAUUCAUUUUACAAAAUACAAAAAAAACGAGUGUAAAAUGUCUUUGAUGAAGAAAUUAGGGUUUCACUAUAAAACCAAUUGAUAAUAUAGAAAACAGCUCAAUAUCUUAUCAGCCUUUGCCUUGGUCUACACCUCAUCAGUGUGGGACAUUUUGUCCUCACAUUAUUAACUCUCAACACGCUCCCUCACGUAUGACCAAUUUUUAAGCCUACACAUGGACAACUAAUUGGGUGAUGUGUGAACAAGUGCGGCCCUUGAGCUUUCACACAAGGGACAACCUGGCUCUAAUACCAUAAAAAAGUCGGUGUACUACCAUAAACCAAUUGGCAAUAUCAAGAGUAGCCAAACAACUUAUAAGCCUUUGCAUUGGUCUAUCCCACUGAUGUGGGACAUUUUGUCCUUACAGCAUCAACUCUCAACAUUUGAUAUGUUGGUUUUUAAGAACAAACUCAUAAAUGGAAAAAACUAAGGACAAUAUUUAGUUUUAGUAAAACAUCAAGCAAGACAUACUUAGUUAUUAAAUGUUAUUGUUUAAAAAAAAAAAAAAGAAGAAGAAGAAGAAAGUUCAUAUACACCACCACCAUAACCAUUUAGUACUACGGUUUAGUGGUAUUCCUCUUCAUUUUCCUUAAACUGCACAAAGCCACAACUUCACAACUUGGAGAAAUGCUUUUACAAUAAUGGGCUAUUUCAGAAUAUAAACUGAAAGUAGUGCAAUUAUGGCAAGUUCAAUCUCCACGUCUUUUUAUAUGUGUUUCAUUAAAAGGAGCAUAAAUAAUAUAAUCAAUAGGUUAUUUGCAUGCCACUCAGUACUAUAGUCUGGUGGUAUCCUCUUUACUUGGAAAUGAGAAGUAUUAGGUUUGAAUUUCGUGAUGGCGAAUUCGAUACCAAAUUAGAUUAUUCAUUAUGUGACUUUGUCGAACUUCCAUUUUCCCACAGUAUAAAAAUAUCGAUGUACUAAAAUAUCCCAAAAAGGGAAAAUUAGGUUCACAUCCUUCUUUUUAUUACUCCAUUGAUUAAAAUCCUAUUCAUUUUCAAUUUUUGAUCAAGGUCCUUGGGUAUUAAUAACAUCAUUAAUUAUUUGAAUAAUAAAAUAUUUUUAUUUUUAAAUAUAUUCCCUUAAUGUUAAAAAUGUUACAAUUAGUAUAUUUAUAUUUAUGGCUAAAUUUUUUAUCAUAUAUUUUUAUUUUUAGUUUGUACCUAUUUUUAAUUUGCAAAUAUUUUUUUAAUUGUACCAAUUUUCUUUUCAUUUUUAAUUUGUACCCAUAUAUUAGUUUCUAUUUGUGCCCAUAUUUUUUAAAGUUUUAUUUGUGUUUGUACCCAUGUGUAUACCGUCAUGUGACAUUGUAUAUUUAAUCAAUGAUAGAAAAAUUACAUAUGGUAUAUUUAUGUUUUUAUGCCUAAACUUUGUAUCAUAUAUUUAUAUUUUUAGUUUGUACCCACUUUUAAUUCGCAACAUUUUAAAAAAAAAAUUGUAGUAUUUUCUUUUUAAUUUUAUUUUGUACCGAUGUAUUAAUUUCUUUUAGCGCCUAUGUUUUUAAAAAUUCAUUUGUAUUCAUAAUUUUUUUUAUCUGUACCCUAAUUUAUUUUUAAUGUACCCAUUCUUCUUUAUUAAUGUACCACUUUGUUAUAUGUGAAAUGUAUUAAUUUUCUUGUAAAAUGUACCAAUUUUUUUAACACUAUGGAUACAUUCUUUUGCCAUUUAUUAUUUCUUAUUUUUACAUAUUUUUUAUCCAUUUAUUCAAUCAAAAUGUUUGAAUUUUUUUAUUGUAACUGUUUCUAAUAGUAUUAUAUAAUGAGGGAUUUUAAAUUUAUAGGCUUAUAGAUCUCAUAAAAUAUCAAACAAUUAAUGUCAAAAUUAUAAAAAUAAAAAUAUUAAUAGUAAUAUAAUGAGGUGUACAAAGUUAAGGGACCUUGAUCAAACUUUGAAUACUUUUAAGGUUUUAAUCAAAGAAUGUUAAAGAUUAGAGACCGCAUCCAAAAUAUCCCAAAAAAAAUUUAUUUGCAUUGCACCUUCUAUAGUAUCAUAAUUUUUUUUUUCUCACUAAACUUAGCUGCCACCAUUCAUGUCCCCACCCCGCUAUUAUCACCACUCAUAUCCCACCAUUAUUGUUACCACCACCACUGUUUCUACUUGGGGUGGCAAUCAUCUCCACCACCAUACCACCAUCUUAAAAUAUAUAUUACAAAACAUUAUUAUCAAACACGAAUUUCAUGUAUUGACAUUUAUAUAUCGAUAAACAAAGACGUCUAAUGUCUUCCUUGUCAAAAUAUAAUUCCCAGAUUAAACUCCUAGACGAAUUCUUCAAGUCUUUUUACUGCUACAUUUGCUAGACGUGAGCUGGGCCAUGUCACCUACUACUUUAACGGGCCUUGUUUGGGUUUGAAUUUUUGGGGUUUUAACGAAAAACCCACGGUACUGUUCACUUUAAUGAAAAACCACAUUUUUACAUUAAAAAGCCAAACCUGGUACUAUUCACUUUACCCUUUAUUUUGUCCUUAUCAUUAAAACUCAAAGUUUUCAAGCUUUUUUCAUUAGUUUUCCUUUGAAUUUUUUUCCUGCAAGCUGAAUGGAAAGACACGAUAAGAUGUGUUAAAAUAAUGAGUUAACACGAACCAAUAUCACGACCCAUUUGUCAGGUCCAUGUAAAGGAAAAUGUGAUUUGACCAAAUUUAUUGUUGUUAAAAAUUAAAACCUCCGCGGUUUUGAAGAUUACAAUAUUGAAAUAGGAAUGUAAGUUUUCCUAGUUAUGGAAUCCCUUUCUAUUGAGUGAUCUCUCAAAAAACUUAUUUGAUGAGCAUAGGUACAUUUUUAAGAAAUUUAAUUAGUUUUAUGGUGGAACUUUAACUUUUUCAUGAUAUCAGAAUAUGUUGUCCUGUGUGAGAAAGCCCACAGCCCGGCAUGCUUUAGGUCAUCUAAUUUGUGUUGUCCACGUGUUAGACUUGAAAAUUUGCCGCUCAUAAGGUGUUAAUCCCCCAUUGAAAAAAAAGACCUUGCAUGUGCUUAUAAGCAAGUUAGGCCAUUCCCAUACACCUAUUUAUUUUAUCUCAACUUCUUCACAUUCUACAUUGUAUUUUAAUGAUUCAAACAAAUUAUUUUUCAAAUUGUUGUUGAAAGUUUGUUAGUUUGUUCAGUGAAAUUGUUAGUUUAAAACUCGGUAGAAGUUGGUUAAAAGGGAAGCAUUGUAUCAGAAAGAUUGUUUUUUUUUUUCAAAGGCAAAUCAGAUAUAUUAAAGUCGGAGAGAAAGGUUAGCAUCAUUGGCCAGGGUGUUAAACAAAAAUUCUGGCCCAAUACAAUCCCAAACGAACUCCCUACCCUCCAUAAAAACAAACUUGGCCACCGAGUGAGCAGCAGUGUUGCUCUCUCUAGGCGCGAAGACGAAAGACACGGCCUGCAUCCUACGUGCUAGAUUCUCAAUGUCACCAAGCAAACAACCAAUCCUAAAGUCCCGAGUUAGCUCCUUUCUAAUCAUGAGGACAAUAGCCCUAGCGUCAGAUUCAACAAUAACGUUAACAAAACCCUGAAGCAGACAAAAUUCCAAGGCCCCCCGAAUUGCAGCCGCUUCCGCUGCCGCAGCAGAGUGAAAACUUGAAGCACCCGUUCCACCAGCCCCCUGCAGCACCCCAGCAAAGUCCCGGGCCACCCAACCCAGCCCCGCCCUCUGCGAAGCCUUGUACCACGUAACAUCGGUGUUCACUUUAAUCAUCCCAAAGCAAGGUUUCUUCCAACAAACCCGUCUUCUUUCCUCCCCCAUGUCCCUGUUGUACACCGGAGUCGGAGAGCCCUGUUCCACCCUCUCGUUCGCAUUUCGGUAUUCAGCAACAUUCCGUUUCCAGACCUCAAGAAUCUCUGUCGGCGGAAGGAAACUCCCCCUGAAGAUAGCAUCAUUCUGAUUCUUCCAUAAUCUCCACAGGCCAAAGACGAACUCUUGCAGAAGCUCGUUCUUGUCAGCUAGAUCAGCAACCCGAUUGUAAAUAUUUACCCAGCUUUGUAGGAAGUCAGUUCCCUCCAGAUCAAAGGAGUUGAUCUGAAGCGGGGAGCAAAACUAGAAAAGAUGGCUUGUUUCGCAUCUGAAAAAAAUAUGAUUCUCGGUUCAUCCACCAGUCCGCACACCCCACAGAUGUUGUCAACCCGCAUAUGCCGCCGUUUGAGGUUUCUCCGAACAGCCAGCGCGUGAUUACAACAUUUCCAAAUAAAAAAUCUCAUCUUCCUGGGAACAUCCAGGCUCCAAAUCGCAUUCCAAGUCUUGUUAUGUUUGGUUUUGUCGCUGGUAGCCCCCCGUCCCUUCUUUCUGAGCCCUCCACUCUCCAUGAGCUCCAUAGCAAUUCCAUACCCCGAUUUCACCGAGUAGACCCCAUUCGCAGUGUGGAACCAACCCAUCCUGUCACAAGAUCCAGUCUUACUAAUCGGGAUACUGAGAAUAGUGUUCGCCUCCUCAGAGCUGAAGGAAGCACUAAUCAAAUCAGCUUUCCAGGUCUUGGAUUCCUGGUUAAUUAAAUCACGAACAUACAGGGCAUCCAGGUUCACCGCAGGCCUGAUGCAAAAGGUAGACGGCUUGGGGUACCAGGGAUCCUCCCUAAUUUUUAUAGUUUCACCGUCUUCCACCCUCCAAAUCAGCCCCUUAUCGAGCACCUUUCGAGCUUCGAGAAUUCCUUUCCAUCCCCAAGAAGAUCCCCGACCGAUGGUUGCCUCCCUAAAGGUUUUCUCAGGGUAGUACUUAUCUCUCAUCACCUUUGCAAGCAAGGAAUCCGGGAAAAUGAUUAGGCGCCACCCAAUCUUGCCUAGGAAAGCCAAAUUAAAACCUUGAAAGUCUUUAAACCCGAGCCCCCCCAGGCUUUUCUUCUGCAAAAGACGGACCCAGGAAGUCCAAUGGACUCCCCUGCUGACCCCGCUUCCCCUCCACCAAUAGCUGCGAAUAGCCUUCUCAAUGUCCCUACAUACUCCAAUUGGCAGCUUGAAGCAACUCAUAGCAUGAUUUGGCAUAGCCGUAGCCACGGCUUUUAUGAGGAUUUCUUUACCUGCUGGGCUUAGAAACUGUUCAGCCCAUCCCGUCAUCCUUGAUUCAAUCCUCUCCCGGACGUCAUUGAAAACCACCUUUUUCGAGUGCCCAAAAUCAGCUUGAAGCCCCAGCUUGAAGCCCCAGGUAUCAGAAAGCUUGUUCAUUUGUUGUAGGCGGAUCCCCCAAGUUUAUCACGUUAGACUAUACGACCAUGUACAUCACAAGAAUUCUUCAACCCAAUAAUAAUUAGGUUUUAUUACUUUAAGAACCCUUAAUGUUGACCUACUAAAGAGAGAAAGUCGAGCAUCAUUAAACAGAAAAAAGAAAAAGAGAACAAGUCUUUUCAUGAAAUGUAGUAUGAUAUGAAAGAAGGUUGGAACUUUCCACUUUGGGUCUCGGUACAACAUAAUAGACUAGAAUAGUCUAACAUGCACCAGAAAUCAAAGUUAAGAUGACCGACUUCCCAUGCAUCUUCUUAUUGUUGUUCAAGGCAGCUGCGUCUAAGACUCUACCAAGUCUUGCUUUUUCAUUACACUCUUCAGCUUUCCCUACCUCUCUAUUUAUAGGCUUCAAUUCAUGUAUCCUUGCCAUACACUCUUAUCAGCGAUUACCUAAAACAAAUCAAUUUGCUUUAGUAAUCACAGCCUCCUACACAAUUUUCCUAGAGAGAUAUAGAGAGAAACAGAGCUAGAUAGAUGGAGAGCAAGAUGGUGAUUGUUUUCGGUGUAGUUGUGGCUGUGUUCCUGCAAAAUGUUGCAGCACAGACGGGACAUGUGGUGGGAGGAAGCAUAGGUUGGACCAUCCCUCAAUCUGGUGCACAAGAGUAUGUCACUUGGGCUGCAAGUAACAAGUUCGUUGUUGGUGAUACUCUCAGUAAGAUUCGCUUCUCUUCUGAUUUCCAUCGUCUUCUUCAUUAAGUUAAUAACUUCGUGAACUCAUUAGUGUAACACUCUUUUUCAAAUGAACCAGCUAGACAGACCCAGUUAGGACUCCACAUUUACUGAUCACAUUAAAUAUAUAUAUAUAUAUAGAGGUCGCACUUGGUGCGAUGGCAAGUGCCUUCGCCCAUGAGCGGUAGGUCUCGGGUUCGAGACUUGGGAGCCGCCUCUCCAUAAAUGGGGGUAAGGCUAGCCGACAUUCAUCUCUCCCAGACCUUGCGUAAAGCGGGAGCCUUGUGCACUGGGUACGACCUUUAUUUAUAUAUAUAUAUAUAUAUAUAUAUAUAUGUAUAUAUAGUAUAUUUGAAGUGAAUCCACGAGUAUUUCCGUAAAAUAAGAGCACAUGACCGACAAUAAUUAUCAAAUGAAGUUUCAAUUAAUUUCCGCUAGCCUUAAAAUUAUUCUAAGGUAAACUAUCCAUCACUCAUGUUUCUCACAUUUGAUGUUUCUUAAUUAUUUCUCCAGUUUUCAACUUCGCCACCAACGCACACGAUGUACAAGAAGUACCCAAAGCAUCAUUCGACUCAUGCAGUUCGGAAAACCCAAUUGGCACGGCUAUCACAACUGGCCCAGCAAACAUCACUCUCACCUCUUCAGGCGACCACUACUACAUCUGCACUUAUGGCCGUCAUUGCCAGUCGGGCCAGAAACUAGCCAUCACCGUUUCAGCUGCCUCGCCAGGUGCCGCACCUUCUGUACCACCACCACCCUCUAACACCCCUCCAACUAGCCCUUCCCCUACAUCAAAUGACCCUGCUGCUUGCGCACCAGUCCCAGCUUCAUCACCAUCCAUGAAUGGAGGAGUACCCACCGUGAACAUCACGCCGGGGUCGCCGCCUCCGCUGGGCUCUUCUGCACCUGCUGUUUUGGCUAGUUUCUCUUUGUCGGCCGCGGCUCUUAUCGUGGGUUUGCUCUUUUAGUUACCAUGAAGACAUCGCGAGUCCUAAUUAAUUACUAUAUUGGUGAUCCAACCUUUUUUAUAUUGUCUAUCUUGAUAGUACAAAAGUAAAUGGAAUUUGAUCUUAGUCUCUCUCUUUUGUUCUAAAUAAUUUUGUAUCUGUUUCGUAUAACGAACCCGUACAGGGUGAUUUUUUUUUAGUAUACUAUCAAUAAAG